AGCGCGCGGUGACAGUGCUCCUUCAUCCGCAGCGACAGGUGCGGCAGCCGCUCCGAGAUCUCGAACGCCACCUUGGCGUUCAUGGUCGGCCCCAGCAGCAUAAGGGCCCCCUGGUGCAGGUCCAUCAUCGAGUUCACCAGGCUCGCCGGUCCGCAGAUCGCACCUGAAAUGAAAUUGCAGCUUCAGACCCGGUUCACAAAACAGACAUGACGAGCAGUCGUCCUGUCAACGUCCACGUAGCUUUGCUCAGCCUACAUGGACCGUCCGCCAGGGAUGAGGACAACUCGCGUCCAGCCAAACGCACUCGGGACACGUGCAAAGGUGGGACACGUCCACCGAUUCACAUGAGUCACGAGCACUGGACGCAAUGUGUACACGUACCACCUACUUCGAGGGAGGUCCCUUCGCCCAUGCCGUCAUCCCAUCUUCUCUUUUUUUACGAAUAUUCGAUCAAAUUUAUUUUUUAUUAUUUAUUUCUUAUUUAAAAAUGCAAGAAUUUUGUGUAUCCGAACAUAUGGGAAUAUAUAUAUAUAUAUAUAUAUAUAUAUAUAUAUAUAUAUAUAUAUAUAUAUAUAUAAUUCCUUGUAACCGUCACUAAAACUCCUAUAGAAGCGGUGUGCAAUAUUGCGAUGAAUAAUAACAAAAGUAACUGAUCCAACAGCUGGAAAAGAGAAGGGAUCGGCGGGGGGCGGUUACCUGCGAUGAUGUCAGCGCCACCGCUGAUGAACUUGGAGACGCUGUGGACGACGACGUCGGCACCGAGCCUCGCAGGCGACACGACCAUGGGAGCGAAGGUGUUGUCCACGACCAGCAUCGUUCCCUUCUCCCUCGCAAUCGCGCUCAGCCGCGGCACAUCGGCCACGGCCAGCGUCGGAUUGGCCACGGUCUCGACGUACAGGACCUUGGUUUCCCCUUCCUUAACCGCCGCCCUCACCGCGUCGAGGUCGUCGAUGUCGACGAAGGUGGUGCGGAUUCCGCAGGACCGGGGGAGGAAGUGCGAGAGGAGGGCGUGGGUGCCGCCGUAGAGGCAUCGGGAGGCAACCACGUGACCGCCGGCGCCGCAGAUCUGGAUGAGGACGGAUGAGAUGGCGGACAUACCGCUGGCGGUGCAGUAGGCGGCCUCGGUGCCCUCGACGGCGGCCAUCUGGCGGCCGAGGUUGAGGACGGUUGGGUUGAAGUGCCGGCUGUAGAUGUAGAAGUCGCGGUCGGGUCCGAGCUCACCCGAGAACAUGCGCCGCAUGGUCUCCGCCUCCAUCACAGUGAACGUCGCCGACGCCUCGAUCGACAUGUUCACCCCGCCGUGCUCACCGAACUCGUGACGCGCGUUCGCCAGGGCCACAGCGGGGUCUCCGCCCCCGCUGCCACGGGCCUUCUUGGCGGCUGGUGCCACCGCCCACUUUUUGUCGGACCCACCGUCCUUGUCCUCGUCACGGCUAGUGCUCUUGGGGUUCGAGAAGGCCGGCGAUGGGAUCGUCUCCGCCAUUAUUCCUCUUCUCUCCUAAUUCCUCGGGGAUUUUGGUGGAUGAGCCGACGAGGACGACGAAGGGGAUAAUUAUAGAAGAACCGCGUUAAGAUGCUCCGCGGAGGAACUCCAGUUAGGUAUACCAGACGAAUGAAUGAGACGGGACUGACUACGCAAACGCAGGAGCGUCCAAUGAAUCGGGUCACGUUUCGUGAGAGCGGAGAGGAGGAGAGGUCAAGAAAGCAAGCCCUAGACGGGGCCGGCGGAAACGAGAGGCUCAAAGCCCUGUCACUUGUUCGAGGUGCCGUAUGUCAUUUGCGAAACGUAGAUGCAUUCAUUAUCAUUAUCUUUAUUAUUAUUAUUAUUAUUAUUAUUGAUAAGAGGACGCGAAACAUGUGCUUCGCAAGGGGAGGACAUGUCUUCUUCGAACAGCUCGCGUGGUGUCACCGGAUGCAUCCUGAAGGCUCGAGAAGGACCCACGGAGUGAACCCUAUGGUUCGAGAAGGAAUCUCGAUUGGCAUUAAAGGUUAGAUUGACAGCAUCUUAUUAUUAUCUUUAUAGAUACGAUCAUAGUGGCUAGAAAUAGAUGGAAAUAUAGUCGGGUGAAGAUAGUAAGUAAUACGAGAGGAUGGAUAACCCCUUUGGAAAGGAAUGAGAAAGGAAACCGCCUUCUUUGCUUAUUAAUAUGAGUCCCGAUAAGAGCGCGCCUCUUGUGGCACUCGACAUGUUUGCGUCUGUGAUAGGGGAAGAAAAAUGGCACGAGGCAGAAAAGGUGAUCCAACGUCGUCAUCUACGAAAGCUAAGCCUCGACUUACAUUAUGUAUUAUGGUGCACGGACUCGUUGACUGAGUCAAAAGAGGACAAUAAAUUAUUUUAGUAUAACAAAAUAUAAAAAUUCUGAAGAGCUUCUUUUAAUAUUUAAAUUUAUUAUGAUUCAAUAAUAGUUAAUCGAUGAGAUAAAGAGAGAAAGGGGGGAUGGUAACUUUUUUUGUGGAAUCGUAGGCGUUGGAGGUGAUGCUUAUCCGAUUCCCGGAGUCGUAGAGGAAGCUUCCACUGGAGUCGCUGUGCUCAAGUCUUCGUCGCCCCGGUGCUGUGAAAUUUCUGGAGUCGCUGUGUUCAAGUCUUCGUCGCCGCGGUUGCCUUAUCAAUACACUUUUUUGAGCCACUUGUGGGGGUCUUUCUAAGAAGAAGAAAAGACAUUGAUUUAUUAUUAUUUUUAUUAUUAUUAUUAUUAUUAUUAUUAUUAUUAUUAUUAUUAUUAUUAUUAUUUUAUAUAUAUAUAUAUAUAUAUCUACUGUGAUGCAUUAAUAUGUAGUUGGAGAAAGAGACGUGAAUGAAUGCCCGAUUAUGAAAUACUCUAAGGAUUUAGAAAAUAAAAAAAUUAUAUUUUAAAUAUAUGUGGAUGUAAGUUUUGUUUAGUAAAAUUAUAUUUUAAAAGUCUAUUGAAUGUGCAAUUAUGGAAUGCUUUGAGUGUUGGAUAAAUAAGAAAACUAUAUUUUAAAUACGUAUUGACAUAAAUUUUUUGAUAAAAUUAUAUUUUAAAAAUAUAUUAUAGAUUUUCAUGAUAAAUUUAUUCUUCUAGUAUUUUUUAUAUUUAUUCAAACAUGACGUACGUGUUGAUCCACUGUGAGGCAUUAAAGUAUCAGUAAGGUUAUGCUUGGAAAUAUAUUUAUAUUUUUAAUAUAUAGUUGGAGAAAGAGGCUUGAAUGAAUAUGUCAUUAUAGAAUAGUUUGAGUAUUUGAUAAAUAAAAAAUUAUAUAUAUAUAUAUAUAUGUAAAUUUUGUUUGGUAAAAUUAUAUUUCAAAAGUCUAUUGAGUGUGCAAUUAUAGAGUACUUUGGAUUGUUUGAUAAAUAAGAAAACUAUAUUGAGUGUGUAGUUAUGAAAUGUUUGAAGUGUUUGAUAAAUAAGAAACAUUGUCGUUUAUAUAUGCAUUGACGUAAAUUUUAUUUGAUGAAAAUAUAUUUCAAAAAUAUCUUGAAUAUUUUUGUGAUAAAUGUAUUCUUCUAAUAUUUAUUCAAGAGUAAAUAUAUAUUUAUUUAAAUUAAAAAAGUAAAGAAAAAAUAUAUAUAAUCUUAUAAAAAAUUUCAUAUGACAUAGGUAUAUAACAAAUACAAAAUAUAAUUAUAUAAUCAUGAUGAAUCUCGAAUUUUGAUGCUAAAACCAAUUGUUAAUGUUUAUGAUUUGUUUUGUAUUUUGAGUGACGUAAGAAGCUUUGAUCGAGAAGAGACAAUUAAAACAGGAAAAUCAUGUUGGGCUAGAGAAAAAACAUGUCAGAAGAUUGGACGUCAAGCCGAAUGAUCGGUCGACGUAUCGAUAGAAUGCUUCAGGGCACGGGUUCAGGCAUCGGGCCAAGAAGAGCGAAAAUUACGCCAAGGAAAUCGGAGUUGCAGAGGUCAACUGGCCGAUUGGGCUAUAUAUUGCAAAAGAGGAUGAUGCAUUGAAGAAUCAGACAAAAUCGAUGAACCAAUGACAUGACGGAUAAUAUUUGAUUAGCUUUGUAAUAAUUAUUUAGAUCAAAAUAGGUUUUAAGUGUGCAGGAUUAACUACGAUAGUGAUCAAAGCAUAAAAACAUCUCGUUCUUGACUCUGGGACUUCGUUGGAAGUUCGAGAGUUCGUCGGAAGUUCUAUCGGAAUUGACCGGGAAGUCUAGGAGCUUGCUAGAGAAGCUCGUAUGAACUCGCCAAAAAGAUCAUCGUGAAGUCUAGAAGCGUGUCGGGAGUCCAUUGGAACAUUAUCGAGAAAUAAUUGGAAGAUUAUCGGAAGCUCGCAGGAAGAAACUUAGACUUAUCAGACUUAUUUAGCUUAGUAUAUAUGCCUUAAAAUUCAUAGUUAGCACAUAAUUGGGUUGGAAUUAGGCAAACUCAAUUAGAGGCCAAUCGGGCCUAAGUUUGGGCUAUGUUAGGCCAAGUGAAAUACUCAAACAGUGACCCAACAUAUGGAACCAUCAAUCCCAGACUCAAUCUCCGAGACUAUCAAGUGGUGGUACCGCCUAGACACACUCCCAAGCGAUGGUACCACCCAGUGUCAGUGCUAUAGGCCAUAGUACCGCUAGUACCCGGAAAACCCAAGAUGAGACCUUUUUUGACUCAAAUUUUGAAGUCAUUUUAAGUCUAUAAAUACCCCAACUAUUCCUGCAUGGAGCAACAAGAAUUAAGCACGAAAUUGAGUUAAAAAAAGGGAAAGAAUACUUGAAAAAAAAAUAGGAAACUCUUUUAGGAUUUAGGAUCACUUCUUUGUAAUAUUUAGAAGUUCAUCUAAAGGGAGAAGUGAGGUCUAAGAAAAAGAGGCUUGUAAGGGUUGUCUCCUAAACCUGUGAAAAGGAAAUAUAGUGUAAAAGGGUGGUUGAUCUUCGUCUAUCGAAAGAAAAUCAUUAGUAGAUGUCAAUGGCUUCGGUGGAAGAGGAAUCGGGAAUGGAUGUAGGUCACGACGACCGAACCACUAUAAAUCGGUUUACAUUUUUAUUCUGUUUUUAAUUCUCAUAUUGCAAACUGAUUUACUUAUUUUAUUUGCUCAUUACAUACAUUAUUGUAAACUUUUUAAAAUUAAAUACUUUUCGAUACGAUAUUUAAUCGUACGAAGAUUUUUCGAAUUGACGCGAUUUUAUCCAUCGCACUAAUUCACCCCUGUUAGUGCCGACUCGAUCCUAACAAAUAAAAUAUAAAUAUAUUUUUAAAAAUAAAUAUAUAUAAUAGAAUCUUAUAGAAAAUAUAAAUCAUACUAAUUUCUUACUAUAUUAUUUUGAUUAUGAGAUAAUUUUAGAUAAAAUUAUAUGAUUUUUUAAAUUUUAAUUAUUAAUAUUAAAAAAAAUACUAAAAUAUUAAUGCUAUUAUGUGGUAACAUCGAUAUUUUAAGUAUUUUUAAUAUAGUAUUAUGGUAAAAAUAUAAUUAUAAAAAAAUUAUUAAAUAUCACUACAUAUUUGUUCUCGAACGCACUCGCGUCGAAUGAUGGAUCGGUGUAAAUAUUAGCGAGGGAGAGUGACGUUAGUGUAAGAUGGAGGACCGCCCCCACCAACUAUAAUAGGCCGUCAAGUCUUCCGUCGUUGUGUGGCAGAGUGUCCUGCACCGACUACGUCAUCUUGGUUGGCGAGUCUUGCGUUGUUCGGUGUCACUGUGGCACGUGCACCGAAGAGACUCGUGUCGUGUAAAAAUAAUUUGUUUAGAGUUAAUUUAAUCGAUAAAAUCUUGGAAAGAUUCGGUCUUCGUCGUUUCUUUUUUUAUAAAUAAAAUAAUUUAUUGAUUCGUAUAAAAAAUAGUUUAUCUAAAAAUUCAUUCACAAUCCAUUUUGAGAAUUUUCAUGGGGCCUCCAAUUUGCUCAAAUGCUUAAGAAGUCCUUGAAUUAGUUCAUUAAACCAUUGACUUGAAUAUAUCGAAUCAGUUCAUCUUCCAACAAACUAAUCUUAAAUAAUCUUUAAAGUAAUAAAAAAAAUAUAAAAAUCAGUGAAGCAAGUAUUUCUAUCAUAUUUUACUUUAGAUCGUGAAUAUUAAUAUGAGUUAGACAUAUUUUAUGAUAUUACAAUCGAUCUUGUUGACGUAACUAAUUCUAUUCGAAUAAAAAUGUUAUCUAAAUCUUUGUAGUUCGACUAAUUCUAUUCCAAUUAUGAAGUACUUUAAGUAUUUAAUAAAUAAAAACUUAUAUUUUUAAUGUAAAAGAUUUGUUUGGUAAAAUUAUAUUUCAAGAGUCUAUCAAAUAUUUUAUAAUGAAUUUAUUCAUGUAAUAUUUUUAAUAUUUAUUCAAAAGUGAAUAGACACACACACACACACAAUAUAUAUAUAUAUAUAUAUAUAUAUAUAUAUAUAUAUAUAUAUAUAUAAUGUAGUACAUAUAUUGCUUGGAUAUGCAAUAAAUAUAAAAUAUAAUUUUAUUAUCAAAUAUAAUUUUUUUGAAAAAAAGAAAUAAAUAAAAUUUGAUCUUAUAGAAAACAGAAAUCAUAUUGGUUUCACACUAAAUUAUUUUGAUAAUUUUAUAAUUUUAGAUAAAAUCACAUGAUAUUUUUAGAAUAUAAUAAAUUAAUAUUAACAUCCUGUAAAUAUUUAAAUGCUAAUGCUACGAUAAGAUAGCAUCAAUUUUUAAGUAUACUCAAUAUAAUAUCUUAACAAAAUAUGAUUUAAAAAAAUAUCAAUCAUCAAUUUAUAUUUAAAAUUAUAUUAGACCUACAAUAAACCUUUCAAAUGUAUCCCAACGCACUAUAAGAGAAUCGUUCGAUGAAUGGACUGAUUGAAAUGACUGAGGGAGAGUUAAGAUGGAAUAAGAUACAGUCCGGCCCCCACCAAACAUAAUUGGCCAUCAAAUCUACCAGUGUUUUGUGGCAAAGUGACGUGCACCGACUAUAUCAUAUUGGUUGUCUAAGUCUUUCCAUGUUCGGUGGUACGGUGGCGGGGCACCGAAGAGGCUCAUAUCGUGUAGAAAUAAUUUGUUAAAAUUAAUUUAGUCAAUAAAAGCCAAUUUAUCGAUCCACGCAACAAAAAAAUCAUUCAUAAUCCAUUUUUACCAAUCAGUGCUCAUAUUUUGAGAAUUAGUUCAUUAAACCAUUGACUUGAAUAUAUUGAAUCAGUUCAUCUUGCAACAAACUAAUCUUAAAUAAUCUUUAAAAUAAUAAAAAAUAAAAAAUCAGUGAAAUAAUAUUUCUAUCAUAUUUUCCUUUAGAUCGUGCAUAUUUAAUAUGAGUUAGACAUAUUUUAUUAUAUUACAUAACUAAUUAUAUUCCAAUAAAAAUGUUAUCUAAAUUUUUGUAGCUCGAUUAGUGCUCGUAGAAGGUCUACUUUUACAAUGACCAUUAUAUAUAUAUAUAUAUAUAUAUAUAUUCAAUAAAAGCUUUAUUAUUCUAAUCUUAUUAUGUAUGGUCUUCCUCUUCUUUAUAAUGUUUCGGUGAGUUGGUCAAACAGUUGUGAUCUCACAUUAAUACGAUGUUAAUUAUGUCACAUAAAUUAGCUCCAGCACACACCUAUGGGAGGGUUAAUCUUCGCAAGCGCCAGCAAUGAAGCAGGCAGAACCGACAGCCCAUCACCAGAAAUCAGACCGGAGGCAAUGCUGGGGAAUCGCGGAGAAACCCUGCAUCAGAUCGGCGUAGACGGAAACGACCGGCUUGAUUAGCCCACAGCCUACGAUUCGCCGGAGUCUCUCCUCCUUGUCGGGAAUCGUCGUCCUACCACCACCCUCCGUGGCUCGAUUGUUGCUGGGAAUCUCUUGCACAAGCAUACGUCGUUCUCAUGUCAACCAUUCACAGCAAAAACUUCGAUCACGUCGGCGACUUGCAGAUGCGAACAGCACCGUUCGAAGUGAUUGACGCGUUAACGUUCGGUUUGGUUCUGCCACAGCGAAUGCCGCCGACCCACUACGAUCCACAGUAGUUCUCCGUAGCUCUUUUAUGGGGUAACUAGAUAUUAUUCUAUGUACGGUAUGUUUAAUAUUUGGAUUUUUAUAUUUUUUUUAAAAAUAUAUAAAUAUUUUUUUAUAUUUAUAAUAAUAAAUUAUUUAAUUAUAUUUCAUCUAAUAUCAUCGUUUUUAGACUGAAGAUAUCAUAUGUAUUAUCACAUAUAAAAAUAAUGAUAAAAAAUAAUAAUUUUGAUCCUCAUUAUCAACAAAGAGCCAUUUGCCUUGCAUGAAGCUAGAAGCAUCCGAUACGAUAGCGAAAUAAGAAAAAUAUAGAGUAAAAGAUGAGAAUCACUAUCGAUAUCAUACUUGAGUAAGCUGUUAGGAAGAAUAGUGAAAUAAGAAAAAUAUUAUUAUAUAAAUAUCACUGAUACUAUUAUUGGAUAAAUCGUCCAAAAGAAUAGCAAAGUCUGAAGGGAAGACAAAAUUGGAGAGACGAUAACAAAACCCCGUAGAAGUUACAAAAUUAAUAUAUUUAAAUAAAAAUAAAAAUAAAAAUUAUUGUUUUAUCUUUUUUUUAACAUGAUUUUUAUACGUGACGCCGUAUACUCUGUUAAUUGAGUUCGAGAAACAAAAUUAAAUAUUUUUUAUAACUAUAAUAAUACUAAUAUAAUUUGUUAAAUUAUAAAGAUGAAAAUACCAGACAUAAUUAAGAUUUAUGCGGUAUUCGGGUUACGUCAGAGUUCGCUCGAUGACAUUUUUACCGGAUCAAGGGGCCCGCUAUCCUCGUGAGAGAGUGUCUCCUGUCACGAGUGGCUCGUGUGAGCUAGAGAUGUCAAGCCAUGUACGCUUUUAUGACCUCCUCACCGGAUCAACUAACGUAACCCUUGGCCCAACGUUUUAAGCCGUCCAGACUCACUAUACCGCCGAGCCGCUACCAUCCAAAACUUGACUCUCUCGGCCGCUAAAUUCCAGCCACGUGUCCGGUCAAACGCCGCUCGGACCAGGAAACCGUGUGCCGCGCGACCCCCCGAUUCGAGUCCACGCGAAGCCGGAGAACAAAAACAGGGCGCUCUUCUGCGAAAUCCGCCAGUUUUGGCUCUCCAAAUCACUCGCCCUCUUUCGUUCUUAUAUGUCUACCGACGCUCGUCACUCUGCUCGACAAAAACACAAGCAAAACAUAGGCAAGGUGAGAUUGAGAUACCGGGAUGUGCCGAUCCGCCAUGGAGAGCAACUCUGGCCUCGCCGGGUACCCCAGGGACCGCGACCGCCUCCAGAUCCGGGGCUUCUACCUACGCGUCUCCCUCGCCGGCGGACGGAGACUGUUCCCGGGCGCCAUCACCCUCGUCUACCUCCCCCGGAUCGACGGCAGCUUGCUCGAGGUAAAUGGGUCCAGGAUUCGCGCCGCGGCCCGGGCGAUCGUGCCGCUCCACCGGAUCUGCUCGCCGGAGCUGUUCAGGAGCGGCGACACGGAGGCGGCGGUGUUCGCCAGCACGGACCGGGUGAGGGCGGGCGAGGGGGUGCGGUUCGAGGCGUACGUCGGGGAGGAGAAGGUGGUGAGAGGGGUGUUCAGGCGGCGGGGGGGCGUGUGGGGGAUGGAGUGCCGGUGCGCGGCGGAAGGCGACGCGGCCGCCGUGGCCGUGGCCGCGGCGGAGGUGUGGGUGGUGGGGGAGAAGGGGGUGUCGAUGGGACAGAGGGUGGAGGUGGCGGCGGCCUUGGAGGAGGAAAGGAGAAAGCGGCGGUGGAGGCGGGGGUUUUGCUCGAGGUUGGAGGAGAUACCGGAGGAGUCGGACGGAUGCGAUGGCUUGUGCUGCGAGGGUGGCGAGGAAGAGGAAGAGGAAGAGGGCUGGGAGUUGGAGGGAUCCGACGAUGAUGUUCGAAAGCAGGCGGGCGGGAAGAGUAUGGAGGGCGAAGAUGCUGCGUUGGAGAUGGAAGGGGUGAGAUGGGGCGUCGAUUUAGGGAUCUGGGUAAUGUGCUUGGGGGUGGGCAUGUUGGUCUCCGCAGCUUCCAAUAGGAAACUGAGAAAGAAUCUUCUUUGAUCUCUUACUUUGCCUUUUCCUUUCUUUUUUCCCUCCAUCGCCAUUCGCAAAGCGGAGUUUUGUAUCGUUUCUCUAGUUUUUGCACAAGAAUUACAAUUCCAAUCAGGUGAAGAUUGAAGCAUCAAAUUAGAUGAUCGAUGCAUCGAAAGGAAAGCUUAUCUGUUCCUGUCGGAGAUGGUAGAAUGCAAUUGUCUCAUGGGUCGAUUGGUCCUAAAGCUCUGAGACGCACAAGAGAUUGGGCCCUGAGAUCACUUUAUACAAGCAAUUGUCCACUCUUGAUUCGGCUAAUUUGGACCAUUUAAUUUUGCAUAUAUAUAUAUAUAUACACAUGUACACUUUUAAAUAUAUUUUUAAUAUUUUAUAAAAUUAAAAAUAAGUGCUUUAUUGAAGCUGGCGCUCUUCAUUCGAUGUAUCUCUCCCUAAUCAUUGUAUUUCUAUAUUUUGUUUUGUUCUGCUAGUAUCCUCAAUUAUUAUUUUCGUGUUGAUUGGAAGUUUGGUUUUAAUUAGCCCUAGUUUGGAUAUGGUUUAGGUGAAUUUACUCAAAUAAAAAUUGGCUUAAAAAUCGGUAGUUUUAAUCUUUGUAGUCUUACCUACAAAGAUGAGAAUCUUUAUUGGUCAGCACAUUGGAAGAUUAAAUAUUAUUUUACCUUGUAAAGUUAGCACAUUCCAAUAAGAUAAUAGUUUGUUGUAUUUAUUAUAUAAUGAGUUAAUUAAACUAUUAAUUUAUCGAGUCUAAUAAUGUAUUCAUUACAUUCUUAUAAAUCGAUCAGCUAAAUCAUAAUAUCAUAUGUCACAUUUAGAUUGAUGAAGGAUAACUUCCAAGUGUCAAAGAAUCGUGUACAAGAACAAAUAUACGAUGGAAGGUGCUCAUUGAUAACGUAUAUUUUGGGCCCAAGACACGUCGGAAUCCUUAUCAAGGCGCUAUUCGACCUGCGUACCACCAUGCUAGCCCGAGAAUCAGCAAGGGAAACACCCCCACACGCUAAGUCAGAAUCUGUACCGAGACGCUGUUCGACAUGUCCCGUCCCGGGAAUCCGAGGUGGCUUCGUCUGACGUUGCUCCGCGCGUCCCGAGAUGGCGAUUGGUCAGAAGUGUCAUCUCAACUCUCGAAGAUCAGGGUGUUAUGCUUACAGAGGGGUCAUGCCGAAUCUGCGUGCAACCGACCCUCAUAUAAUAGUAUAAAGCCCAUGCCGGCAUCCAGCCAAGGGAGGGCAAAAACAAUUGAACCCACAACUGACUUGCUCGUCGGAGGGGCCAAAGUCGGAAACCAUCCGAUAAAGAUUAUUUUUAUAGGCAAGCGGCCACCCCCAAGCCACGAGCGCCUCAACUUGGGAAUCGCCAUCCAGUGAAUGAAGACGAGCUGCCAACCAGCUCGAGAACGGAGAUACGCUACUCGACGCAGAUGGCGCUCGGAUCGAGAAAUGCUGAUCAAUACCUCGUUGCGAGGGCCCGACCUACCUUGACGUCCAACUCAACCGACAGAAGACUCCCGACAUCGACUCGUGGAUCGAGCCGUGCUGACUCACCAGCUCAAUAUCUCUUAUUUUCACGAUGAGACAUGAGAUUAAUUGAAGUCUUGCAACUCUGUCCGAUAAUACUUUGGAUCAUCUUUAGUGCGCCAUUUGUUCCUCCUACCUCGUCAUGAUUGAAAGCACUCUUUCAUCUUUUCUUCACUUUCUUUUCGAUAAUAAGAUGCGUCACCAAUCCAGGAGUCAUCAUAAGAUGCGUCACACUCGUGAUGUUACCCUCCACACUCUCGAGUUUUGGUAUGUGAUAUAGUCGAUACAUCAACCACUUAUACAUUAAUUUAAAGGACAAAUAUCUGUCGUUUUACCUGAUAUUGAUUACUUGGUUGGUAGCUUGUUUACUUUCUUGUCAAUUUCUAGUGGGCGUGAUAGCUUUAGAAAAAGCAACAAGUCUAUUUCCCUGAAAUUAUGCCUUCGACAUGUUGGUAAUUGGAUAAUACAUCACAUCUAUUCGAUCGACACGUGUGAUUCUAAGACCCAAUAAUAGUCGCAUAACCAUUUCUAACAUUUUAUAGAAGAUCGAUACUUUAUGAAAACUAAUAAUCUUUGACUACUUUUUUGAAUCAUUUAAAUCUUUUAAUAGUUUUUGCAGCAUCUUCAAUCAACUAUAUCUUUUCCCAACACAUACUUAUGAUGUGUACCAAAUUAGAUCUUCGUUAUAUUCCAAUUCUUUCGGGACAAUCUAAAAUUUAAUGAUGUUGUUAGUUAAACUUCUUUUCUAUCGAUAAAGAGCUCGUAGGUAUUAUAAUAUAUAUAAUUUAUUUUUUAAAAUAAAUAUUAAUUAUUUUUAAAUGACGAUAUAACAAAUGAUCAUCGUCUCAUCGAUCAUCGCCUUGAAGGCUAUGGUCAUCAUGAUAAUUAAAAAUAAUAUUAUUUUUUUUUAAAAAAUAGAAGAUAAUUUAUAGGAAUAAAGUAAAAAGAGGCAUAGUAAAAAAAAAAAAAGAGAGAAAACUUGAGAUUUUUUAAAGAAAAAUAUCCUAAAAAUAUUAUUUUCUAUUUGAGGUCAAACAAACAAACAAACAAACAAACAAAUGGAAUAAAUCUCAUAAAUAUUAUACAUGAAAAGGAUAUUCCGAUACGUAAGAUUUGCACACUAUCUUAAAUCAAAAUAUAUCGUGAUUUAAAUCAUCAUCAUCAGAUAAUAAAAAGACUAGUAUUAGCUUGAGUGCACCAUCAUACCAACAACAAUCGGAACAACGAUCCACCGUCGUUUUGGUUUGCUAAUCGUAGAUCUUUCCGUGCACAACCCCGUCCUCCCAAGUACUCACGACGCAGACACGACCAAUCAUGCUCACCCACAUUAUUCGUCCCCGAAACAUACGCUCGUGGACUGCACUCGUACGUACGUCGUCGUGUCUCGUUGCUACUAGGAGACACGACUUGUGGAACGGGAGGGGUCCGGCAAUAAUGCAAGGCAAGUGGCGGCCCGGGUCCAUUUCCCACACGAACAAACACGCCGAAGGCCUAACCCACGACACGGGUAACGAUCGAUGCGACGGCGACCCGAUGCCACCGCUUGUUCGCGUCCAGCGCGGUCGAUGUCGUGCCACCCGUCGUGGACCGUACGCCCCCGCUGGUCCCUUCGUCGCUUCCUCGGCCGAUGCACGUUAACUCCCCAAAGGCGGCCCCUUCGACCAGAGGAUUCUUGAAUCAUCGAGAAGGUACGAAAGACGGGUGGUGGCGCUGAGUGGCCGAAAGAAAACAUUUGAUGUUUUCUGUUUCCGAUAUUUAUUCCGCUAAAUUGCAGGAAAAAGCGUUGAGGAAACCCGUUACGUCCCCCUCUCUCUCUCUCUCCUCUCCCAGCUUCGCAAGCCCUCUUUUCGGUUGCUUGGCUUCGGAGCGCCGUUCAGCGGCUCGUACGGACGACACACCGUCCACCGCCACCUCAGCUCUGGGUAUUUCCCACCGCUCCCCUUUCUCUCGCUCGCUCGAUCCGACCGCUCGUCCGCACGCCCCGCCUUCCCCCUUCCUUGCGGCCCCGUUUCCUCUUUUUAUUGGGGCGGUAGUCAACGGGGAGGGAGAGAGCGACUGACGAUCGGGGGAGAGGAGAGGGGGAAUGGGGAGGAACGGGAGCGUGAGGCGCAGCUACUCGGCGUCGCCGACGGACUACAAGCUCCUGGAGGAGGUCGGGCACGGGGCCAGCGCCACGGUGUACCGGGCGAUCUACGUCCCGGCCAACGAGAUCGUCGCCGUCAAGCGGCUGGAUCUUGAUCGCUGCAACAGUAACCUCGUGAGCCCGCUCAUCUUGCCUCUGAAUUGAAUCUUUUUGCUUCCUGCUCUCUGGUACUGGUUCUUGAUGUUCUCGGUGGGGUUUGGAUAUCGUGGGACUGCCAAAGACGAUUCGAUCGGGAGUUGGGAAGUGGAUCUUUUUGGGACUCAGUAACGGGUUUUUUCUCAUCGAGAUCGCAAGCGAUUGGGAUCGACUUCACUCCAUGGUCUGUUGGAAAGGAUUUACACGGUCUGUUUGGAUGAAGGCGAUUGAAGCUAGUUAGCUCGUGUUUUGAAUUGAUUGAACCUGUCUGUUGUUUUGUUCAAGAUUUAGUAUUGGUGAAUGGCUCUUAAAGUUUUCGUCAUUCAAACAAUCUGCGUUCUUGACCUUUAUUAUUUCUGGCGUGUUGGGUUUCCAGUAACUAGGAUGGUACGACCCCCGUCUCCGUUUUGAAUCUUGUCUCUUGCUUUUCUCAGGCGCUAGUUCUCCGUAUUGAGGGUGGGUUUUAGAUGGUGUGGUGUUGUGAAAAGCGGAUCGGCUCCUGAGUUGGGAAGUGGGUUUCGUGGAAUUUGAGAUCUUUUUGGGACUUCGUAAUGGGUUUCAUCAUCAAUAUUUGUUUUUGCAAGCGAUUGGGAUCGGCUUGUUCUAAGAUUUGUGAUUUCACUUCGUAGACUCUUGGAAAGGAUUUUUUCGGCCUAUUUGGAAAGGCGAAUUGAUUAAUCUAGUUAGUUUCUACUGGCGAAUUGAUUAACCUGUAUUUUCUCUGUUCAAGAUUUAAUAUUGAUUAUUUGCUAUAGACGUUUUUAUUCAUCCCUAGCCCUCUGGAUCUUGAUCCUUUUUUUUUUUUCUCUGGUUGAUUGGUUUUCAGUUACUAGGAAGGUGUGCCCCUCCUGUGUUUGAAUUGAAUCUUGUUGUUUGCUCUUCUUCUCUGGUGCUAGUUCUUGAUGUUGUUGUCAGUAUGAGUUUGUGAAAAGCAGACUGGAUAUGGAGUUGGGAAGUGGGUUUUAUGGAAUCUGAGAUCUCUAUGGGACUUUUAACAGUUUUCCUCAAUCACAAUAGCAGGGAUCAACUUGUAUAAAAAGUUCCAACAUCACUUCGUAGACUGACAGAAAGGAUAUUUAUGCCUUAUUUGGAUGACAGUGGUUGUAUUUAGUUAUCUUGUGUUCUUGAAUUGAUUGAACCUGUUUGUUCUUUUGUUCAUGAUUUAGGAUUGCUGAAUGGCUCUGAACCUUUUAGUCACUCCUGGUAAUCUGCAUCUUUGACCUUUAAUUCUUUUCCCAGUGUGAUUGGUCUUCCAGCAAAGCUGCAAGGCUCUUGCUUGUUGUAAUUUGUAAAUACUUUGCCUUCAUGUUUUGUCUCACGUAUGAUAGUGCUUUGGUUGCAGCUAAAGAACUCAAUCUCCAUUUCUAUCAGUAUCAGUAUCAACUUCUUUUUUAUAAUAUGAAACGCUCCCUUAGUUUCAUUUUAAAGGUUUAUUUGUUGUACAUAUAAUUCUAGAACUUGUACUAAUCAAUUAUGUCAUCACCAGCAAAGUGCCACUUCCCUGCUUGUGGGUAGUUGUCUGCCACCGAGGGCAGGGGCAAAUAGACGCGAUGAACCAAUGACCCCUUGAAAAGGGACCCGAGUGCUUUGAUCAUCCAAGCUAGUGGACAUCGGCUCUCUAACAGAUAGUUGUGUUGUGCAUAUCAAUUUAGAUGGCAUUUAUAAUACAUGAAUCGAUAUUCAUUAUCUGUUUAUCAUCAUCAUCAAAACAUACAUAUUUUUGUGUGACCUGCAAAGGUGCAAAUUCUAGAUUAGCUAUUUAUCAUUUCUUUUUGUUAGCUACAUGGUCACUGACAUCAGGGAGGCACAUUUUCUCUAAUGAUUUGGGCUUGUUCUUUAUGUCAUUUAUACGGUGUUUUCUUCAUUAAGUUGUGAUGACCAAGUUGCUCUAUAUAGGAUGACAUAUGGCGGGAAGCCCAAACAAUGAGCUUGAUAGACCACCCGAAUGUAAUAAGCGCUUAUUGUUCAUUCGUUGUUGAACGAUUCCUUUGGGUGGUCAUGCCAUUUAUGGCUGAAGGCUCGUGCUUGCACCUGAUGAAAUUUUCAUAUCCAGAUGGAUUUGAAGAACAUGUUAUAUGUUCAAUUCUUAAAGAAACAUUAAAAGCUUUAGAGUACCUUCAUAGACAUGGGCAUAUACAUCGUGACAUCAAGGUUAGUUUUUAUGUUGGAUUUCUUCUUUAUUAGUCAAUUUUACACCACCAAUUUUCAUUGCUCAAAAAAGUUUCUCGCUCCAGGCUGGGAAUAUCCUCCUUGAUAAAUCUGGUGUGGUGAAGCUUGGAGACUUUGGUGUUUCAGCAUGCAUGUUUGACAAAGGUGACAGGCAACGUGCAAGAAAUACUUUUGUAGGGACACCAUGCUGGUGAGAUACCUUUUUUUUUUGUAUCAUUUACAAUUUAAGUACCCGUUUCCUUGGAUUAAAUUUUGGUAAAUUGUUUCUAUGUUAUUAAUAUAGAAACUAGACAAGCUGUUAAUUAGUUUUUUCUGUGUAGGAUGGCUCCUGAGGUGUUACAACCAGGAAGUGGUUAUGAUUUUAAGUAAGUACUAUCUUCAACUUAAAGUUAUUAAUAUAUUGCAUCAAGUUUUGAGACAAGAAACAUAUCUAUAGAUUGUCAGAUAUUCCUUCAUUUUUGAUGCACAAGCAUGUUGAAUAAGCUGUACGCACUCAUUAGCUUUCUAGGCAGUUUAAUGAUUCUUGUUAGAUUACUUCAAAUCAAGUGGCAACAUAAGGAAGCAUAUUGAGGAGAACAUAUUUAUUUAUAUUUACAAACAUCAGCACUGCAGACCUAGAGACAUGUUUAUAGAGUAAAGUAAUCAGAAAGCUAGUGAGACUAGCAGUCUACUAGGUAUGGUUAGUGAAAAGCAUACCUCAUUGGUUAUUUCAUUUUACUUCUUAAGUUAAAAUAUUUAGAGAUUAUCCAAUGUUGUUUUGUGAAUUGUAGCUACAAUAAUUUUCUUAGUGUGAACAUAAUGCUUCUUUAUAACAAUUUGACAGUCUAAUGCUUUAUUAAUGCGUUGAUGGCAUGAUAUAACCAAGCAACCACUUCCGUUUUUUGUUAAUAUUCAUUCCGAAACAAAAUCAUUAUGAUGUUCCUUUUUCUUCUGAACGCUCUAAACUUCAAGAUUUUUCCCCUCAUUCAACCUGUAAUUGUUGUCAAAAAAACACUUUUAUGGUUAUCUUAUAUUUUUUACCAUGAUUUAUUGAAACAGAAACUUUUACUUCCAGGAAGCAUGGCUCCAGGAUUUCUUGAAUGAAUAUGAAUAGCUAAAUUACAUUUGUUACUUCUUAGUGCAUUUUCUUGAGGGCUUCCUUUCGUGCCACAAUUAGUUGCUCCUUUGAGGUGUGAGUGUCAAGAAAGCAUCUAGGGAAAUAGCUUAUGCACAUUGACCCACCCCAAGCCCUGGUUUGUUGAAGCCUCACUUGGCUGUCCUUCGUGCAAUUUUUUCUGUGGAAACUCAUCUAAUCUAUCUUAGAUCGAGGAGAUGGAUUUUUAUCAAGUUCUUCAUCAUGGGUUACCAUGGUAAUCCAGAAAAAAAGAACACAAGUUUUUCUUGUAAUGAAAGCAAACUUCACUACUGUACAUUUCUGUGAUAACUUCUGUUUGUCAAUUUUACUCUUCCCUUUCUUUUGAAAGCUUCAAUUUUUCUGUUUGAUUUGGAGUAUUUCCCUCUAUAGAUGACUGUAAAGCCCAUAUAAUACUUAACUAGGUUGGAUCUAUAUUUACUCUCUAUACUGGAUGAAAAUUAAGUAGUUUCAUGUAAUUAUCAUUCAGUAGAGUGGAUUGGUUUCCAAAGACAAAACGGCAGCUAGUUAGCUGUUACCCAUGUUCCUGGGCCAUUUCUUGAUAUAUCUGUCUUCUUUAUUAGCAUGGUACAUUGAGUUUUUGGGUUCAACUCUCUAUCAUGUAAGCAUUUCCAUUUAAUAUCUUCCCAUUUGUUGCCUUGGGUUUUGUCUUAGGCUGUUUUCUUUCAUGUGCACCCUUAGGUUUCAUCAUACUAUUCAUGUGCAAGAGGAAGCAAACCAUGUUCAUGGACCAUUUUCCAAUAGUUGACCUUCUGCUAUGCAGCCAUUUUAUACAUCAUAAUUUUCUAGAAGGACGACGUGUACACUUCAUCCGAUGUCAUUUGUCAUCCAUCCUUAAUUAUCUUAUUCAUUUUACUUUAAGAAGGACUUGCUUUUUGCUAGAAACGCAUAUAUGAUACUUGUGAAGUUGUGAUAUAUGUAAGAUUGUGGCUUUUAAACUACAAUUAAUUGAUAGUCUGGUUAUCAAUUAUUAUGGUGCGCAUUAUCGGUUCGUUUCGAUGUACUGACCAGUUGUCGGUAUGGUACAUACCGAGCUGUCCUGAGUGUACCGACACAGUGUACCGAUGUAUCACCCAGACCGAUCAUCUAUUGGACCAAUAUGUACUAUCCAUACCGAGCGGUACACUUCGGUACAUCAAACCUUGUCAAUUAUAAUCUUUCUUCUCAGAAAUCCAAGUACUAGUUAGUUUUGUGUUCUAAAGUGUCUCCUGCACUAAUAAGUCUUGUAAUAGUUCCAUGUAAAUGUACCCUCAAGAUGGAGUAUGUGUCGGAUGCAUUGGACACACAUUGAAUGCCUCAAUUUCCGAAGUUAAGAAAACUAAGGGGAGCCAGAAAUGUGAAUAGGAGAAUCCAACACAUUUUUUGCCCAAAUCCAAGAGAUGAAUUUUCGAAUAAUUGCUGCUGCAGUUCAAGGAUUCUUAUUUCAAAUGGCUAUAUGUCACACAUCUCCUUGUUGAUUGCUUAGCCUAAGCUGCCAAUUACUUUCUGCUGACCCUAGCACUGGUAAAGUUAGAGAUAUUGCAACUGAGCAGACAUACUUUGUUUCAAUUGUCCAUGAAUCAAAUGGGUAAAAUAGGUAAUUUUAUUUAGAAAAAAAUUCUUCCAUAAUUAUACCUGUUUCGUAAGAAAUAACAUGGCUUCAUUAAUUGUGGAUCUCAAAUGCUUGUUAUACUAGGGUCCUUGAAUCAGUGGCUGGAAUGGGUGUGAACUUUUAAGUCUUUUAGUAAUUAUGCAAUAUAACACAGUUUGUAGACGUUGAAGAUUAAGAACAAAAAAUCACUAUUUGAUUGUUUGUUUAAGAUAGUUCCUGAACUAAGAGAAAUUGACGAAGUGCUUUAUCUUUCAUAGUUUCAUUAGGGGGGAUGUGCUAUAUUAACAAUUACAAAGGGCAAAAGUUCCCAUAUGUAAUAUAUAAUGACUAUACGUGCUUGCAACCAUGUGCAGUAUAUAAUGACGAUACAUGCUUGUAUGAUCUAUAUGCAUGUAUAAAUACCAUAUUUAUUCACAAAUUUUGGUGUCUAACCGUUCCAAAUGAUUUGAACCGAUUCAUAGGGUUUUGACCUUUUAUAAACAAAACAGUUGGUUUGAUCAAAUAAUCAAAAAUUAAAAUGCAAUCAUUUUUUCUAGUAUGUUAUAGUGUUCAAUAUUUUUCAGAAUCCUCCUCCGUGUACAACGAAAUUAUCAAGAUUUUGUUGGUCGUUAUCCUUUUGUAUAAUUACCUCUUGUCGCAGUUUUGGAUAUUUGGAUGUGUGUCGAAAUCCAUUCUGAGGUCUAUGUUCAUAUAACAUACCAAGCUAUAACUAAGUUAGCUUGUAGCUGUAUGAAUUUUUGAUGAUGGUGUUGGUCUUGCUUACACUAAUGGGUUGCAUGAAAAAUAAAUUAGAUAUAGCUAAUAAAAUUGUCAUUUUUGUGCUUUUCAGAUCUUGAUCACUGAUACAUUUUUCUGCCUGCAGAGCUGACAUCUGGUCGUUUGGAAUAACUGCACUGGAAUUGGCACAUGGUCAUGCUCCAUUUUCAAAAUAUCCUCCAAUGAAGGUCUGAUUUGUUUCUGGUGAAGUCUGGCUAUAUGCUUAUUUUGUUAUAUUUUAUUGUGUUAUGAGAAGUAGCAUAGAGCCAUGGAAUACUGGCAGUAUGGUUUUCUAAUAAGUUCAGUUAAUUUAUUUUUAUGGAUUUUGCAUGACCUCUCUAUAUAUGGUACAUAAACAUAAAACUUUCAUCCUUGAGCGGUCUGAAUGAUUUUUACAAGUGCCUCUAUGUCUGUUCAGUAGUUUGUAACUAUGAUAAGUCUAUAUAAAUAUCAGUUAUUUUAUUUUUGAUGACAUAAAUGAGUCUUGUAUACCUUUUUCUUUUUAUGAGGUUUUCUUGUGUCUUCCAUCUACAUAUCAUGCUUGCUAUAUGGGAUCUUUAAUCCCUGGCUCAGAGAUUUAGUGCUGAUUCUUUCUAUUUACCAGAUGGUAUGUUGGCACAGUUAAUUUUAUCACAGUGUUCUGCUGGAAAAAGAACCAAAUAAAAGUUGGACAAACUUAGAAUGAAAACCUAUCCGGGCCAAAAUUUUACAGUGGUUGAAAAAUUCAGCACUGGAUCCCACUUAACUGGUUCACGGUCAGUCUGGUUCCAGCUUGAUAACGGGCAAGAUCCAGGCUGAACAUGGUAGACAUCUUUGAUAACUAAAAGCACAACAUAUCCAUGUUUGAUGUUAAUUAUAUGUGCAACUAUUUGAACUUUUAAGCAUCCCCAUUUUAAAUUUGUUCAAGCAAGACUCAGUUUGAUAAUAUUUACCAAUUUACUGUAGGUUCUCUUGAUGACUCUCCAAAAUGCACCUCCUGGACUUGAUUAUGAUCGUGAUAAAAAGUUUUCGAAGGUAUAAUGGUCCCUUUUGCUUAUGGAUGCUUGACAAUAUGUAGAUUUCAUGAAUUUUGAUCCAAAAUAUUAUUGCAACUUAUAUUGGUAAGCCUUCUAACAACGAUAUUCAGUUGUACUCAGUCUUUUAAAGAAAUGAUUGCAAUGUGCUUGGUUAAAGAUCAAACAAAGAGACCGACGGCGGAAAAAUUGUUGAAACAUUCAUUUUUCAAGCAUGCAAAGCCUCCUGAGAUAUCACUGAAAAGCAUUUUAUCUGAUCUUCCACCACUUUGGGAUCGUGUGAAAACACUCCAGGUUAGCCCUCAAUGUUAUCUUUUUUUAAUUUUGUUACUCCUUUUGCCCCUUCUUGAUGACGUGAGGCUGUCAAAACAUGAAAAUUUUCCAGCUUAAGGAUGCUGCACAACUAGCUCUCAAGAAAAUGCCAUCAUCUGAACAAGAAGCAAUAUCACAGGUUGGUGGUACUUUUGACAGUACAAGUUUGCUGCUGUUGAAGUUGAAAAUUUGACUUCUUCCUACCAAGUUCUUUGUUGAAUUACAUUUCUCUUCUAUUUUUGAGUUGCAGUAUCGAAUUAUUUCCAUAAUUAUUAGAACUCAUUAAGAAUAUAGUAAUUGGAUAAUAGGCCUUUUUAUCUUAAUGGUAUCUCUAAUAUGCACAAUUCUUGUUUUUUUUUCAAGAUGAUAAGUAUGCAAAAGUAUUAUAUCUAUACAUAUUAGUAUGUUUUCCUGCAUAUAUAAACAUGCACAAGUAUGCAGAUGGAGAGUUAGAGAUGAUGGGAUAAGAAUCAUCCAACCUUGAUGUCAUUCUGUGCAUCUCAUUGAGGGAUCCAAAAUCGGCUAUUUAUCUGAGUGAUAUCGACUAAGAUAUGAAAGUGAGAUUUCAUUUUUAAGUUUAGAUUGAAUCAUGCAAAAUUUAUACAUAACAUUUGAAUUUUUUUAAAAAAUCAUUAACUUUAUCUUACUCCAUACAUUUACCAAUAAUAACCUAUACCAUUGGAUUCCUCCCAAGAAAUCACAUGAAUUCGAUUUUUGAAAUGUUCAAAUAUAACUAGAAAUCAGGGAGAUAGAGGCCUCAUAAAUUUGAUCGGACCUUUUAUUAUACAUAUAAAGACUAAUUUAUUUAAGCUUGAUUUAAUCAAGCCAUUAAUAGUUCACAUGAGUUGGCUUAGUCCUAUUAGGUUUGGUUGAGCUAAUCCCUCUAGCCUGUAUGAACUAAUACUUAUAGACUUAACCAUGCUAUUUAGGGGCAAUAUAGUUCACUAUAGCCAAAUAUAUUAAACCAUUUGGGUCUUUCCACCAUGGUCCAGGUAUUAUUGGAAAUUUGGAAUCAUUCUUUUCAUUGAUAUUAUAUAAUUUUUAACCUGCCUCUAAUUUCUUUUUUUAAGGACUAUACUGGGGUCUUGUUUGAUUCCAUCAGGACUUUAUAUUAAAACAUUGACCAAAUUUAAGAUUCUUAGAGCUAUCUCUGGUAUCUUUAAGAUGUUUGAUAUCCUUUCAAAUUCAUUAGAUGAGGAAAGAUAGGCUUUACAUAUUUAGUCCUUUAUCAAGGUUCUAAAUACCAUAAAGAAAUCCUGCCAUUAUAUCUUUGAAAUAUAUAGUUAUUUUCACUUUUGAAAUAUUGCCUGAAUGACGGUGAUGAAAAUCAGAAGAAAAUUCCUUUAUAUAGAAAAUAUUGCACCUAAAAUUUGGUCUACAUAUAAGUAGUAUUAUAUCAGUCGAAAUACAUGAAAAGUAGUCCAACAACCUUUUGUUGCUUUGAGACUGCACUUAAACUUUUCAAGAAUAAAACAAAUUGGUCAAUUACAUUUGUAUGUAAUCGGUUUUAGCACCUAGUUGCAAGGUUCACCAUACCGCAGUGUACUGCUAGGUACGGGCGGUACAUACCAAUCCGAUAGAGGACCAGUAUAGGCAGUACAUUGGUGCGCUCUCAUGUACCGUGUGUCGUUAUGCUCAAUACGACUCGGUACGUAUCGUGUUGACAACUGGUCGAUACAUCGGUACAGACCGGUAAGGCGAAUCAUACAUAGUUGUACUAUAUCAAACACCUUAAUUGUUGACCUAUAAAGCAAUCCAUUGUUAGAAAAUUUAUAAGAGAAGUCUCACCUAGAUUCACCAAAAUCAACAGUCUACAUAAUAUCUCAUUUAAUCCAAAACUUCAAAUUAGGAGUGAUCAACAGCUGAAAACAAAAUAAAAUAAAUGGUCAUCACAUCAUGUUGUCUUUUUAUAAUAAAGAAUACAAAAUAAUGUUUGAUUUGCCAUGGUCCGGUCCAUUCCAAUGUAUAUACACCGAAUCAUACGAAGGUACCUGGAAAAGCGAGAAGGGAGAGGAGAUGUACUGAAGUUAGUGGUGGGCACACAGGCUGCAGCAGCAGCAGACUUAUAGGUGGCGAUGGUAUGGAGAGCAAACUCACGAGGAAUCACGUGUGAGCCCUAGCAUCAGGGUUAAAAGAAAAAAAAAGUAUUGUAUAUGCAGCAAACUGGAUUGGACCACCCGAAUAUAAGUGGGCAAUGUCCUGGUGGUUAGACUGGUAAAUACCCAUUGAACCAUACUGAACCACGCAAAAUAAAUAAAAAAAACCUUUGUUUUGCCUGAAGUCCAUAUUACUUAUUUCUGAAUAAUCUGUAGCAACUUGGGCAAUUGAAGUACUACGUCUUCUGAAGUAAACCACUUCUUAUAGGAUGUAUCAUGGGACACCCAAAGAUGGAUGCGUGCAGAAGUUACCUUUUGAAAUGGCAUAAUGAUGAUUUUUUAAUAAAAAAAAGGCAUAUAUGUGCUGAUUUAGGCAUUUAUUGAAGUUUGACACAUUUUUGCUUUAUCCUAUGGCUCUUCCUACAGAGUGAGUAUCAAAGAGGUGUUAGUGCAUGGAACUUUGACAUCGAGGACUUAAAGGCUCAAGCAUCAUUGGUACUUUUAGUUCCUUUUUUUUUCUUGUUUGUGAUAAGGAAAUCUCUUCUUUUUAUUUUUGCUGAUAGAUCAUCAAAAUUUUAUCUUAUACUCUCUUUUUGCCCUGUAUUUCGUCUUAAAAUCACAGAUUCAAGAUGAUGAUGACAUUUCUGAAAUGAAGGAAGAUGAAGAAACUAUGAGAGCUUUUGUUGUCAGCAAGGUUGCCCUACCUCCCAUUGCCUAGUUAUAGUAGCAUCUUAUAAUUUUUGUCUUCUAAUCGAAAUGUGUGAAUUACAUGCAUUUUCAUUUGUUCCUAUGGAAAAAUAACUUGGAAGAAUCUUUGUAUAUUCAGGAUCCAUCCACAUCGAGAUCGAAUUCUGAAAAGUCAAUGUUUAACAACAAAACCAUUCCUAGGUGAGUUGCAUUAUAAUGAACUUACUGGACGUUCUUUCUUUCAUUGUAAUCUUUAUCAUUUUUGUACAUCCAUUGCAAAUAUUUUGCAUAAUGCUACAGAAGCAUGCAAUAUGUCAUGCCAUCCACACUCCUGUCAACUAAGGUUGGCUGGUGUGUCACACAGCUUCACAUGACAGUGGUGAACCAUACUGGUACCAUGCUUAUGCUGGUACUGUACAUUCCAUAGGAGCAGUUCUGUCUUUUUAACUACAAACGUAUAUACUUAUCAAGUAAAAUUACUUUUUGUUGUUUCAAUUUAUUAAUUUGAUAUUCCAUGCCCUUAAAGUAAAAAAAUGAUAUUUGAUCAACAAAGAGUUGUCCUGAAGGAUUAUUCUCCUACUCUGUUACAGUAAGUUUCUUUGAUAAGAAGAGAAACUAUAUUAGUAAAUAGCUCUCUAAACUAUGGUUUCAAUUACCAGUUUUUACUGUCCUAGUAAGAACCGGUAUCGAACAAUAUGGUCCGGUACCACUCAAUUAAAAUUUUCAAUAUUUUUUUCAGCUGUACUGAAUGAUAUGAGUCAAUAUAUUGCCUGGUCCAUCUUUACGAUACUGGUUUUGUAGAUUAUCCAAACUGGUAUUGGAUCCAGAUUUAAAACCUUGUGGUUUAAUCUUGGGUACUAGAUGGGCCAAUGGAGGGCGACCCAAUGGACAAAUCAUGUAUGCACGUAUGUGUGUGUGUGAGAGAGAGAGGGAGAGGGUUCUAAAUGUAUCUAUAUGUUGGGCCAUUUUUUGCUUUCUCAAACUCCUAGGAGAAGUGGACCUACUGUGAUGUUAUCAUAGUAGGUUAUGAAUUCAUGUCCUGGGUCUACCCACCCCUUUAUCUUACAUGUAGGUCCACAUGUCAAAGACAUUGAUCAUUAAGUCCUCUCCAACUCAUAUUUUUAUCAAGAUUGGGCUUAUAGAAUACAGAAUAUUGAAAAGAGAAAAAAAAAUCAUUAUCUUUGUGGAAUAUAAAUUGACUAAUUCAAAAGCAGUAUGCAAAAUAUGAAACUAUGCUUUAAGGCGUUACUCUAGUUAUUCAUGCAAAAUCAUUAAGUGGUUUUCACCCUUUUUUAUUCACUAGUUAAGAAGUCAUUUAUAUUUUUAUAUCAAACUAGUGAUUUAAAAAGCGUUAGGCGCCAAAAGGCGCCACGGUCCAAAAACGCCCGAGGCGCUAGGCGCUCGCCCGAGCGAAGUGAGGCGCUAAAAAUUAAUAAUAUUAAAAUUAAUAGUAUUAAAAUCAAAAUAAUAGUGUUAUGCUGUAUACUGUUAACAGUAUACUUUCGAUUUCGAAAGAGGAGAAGCGAAAGAGAAGAGAAGAGUGUAAGGGAAGACCGAGGGUGCUGAGAAAAGUGGGAGUGGCAGCGGUAGCAGCAACGACGAGUGACAACAGUGGCAGUGGCAGCGGUAGCAGCGAGCAGCGGGAGCGGCGACAGAGGCUGCGACAGUAGCGAGCAGCGGGAGUGGGAGCGACAAGCGACGACAGUGGCAGCGGCAACGGUAAAAGCGAGCAGCGGCAGCGAGAGCGGUGAGCGGCAACAGUGGCAGCGGCAGUAGCGAGCGACGACAACGGCAGCGAGCAGCGUGAACGGCGAGUAGGGUUAGGGUUGGGGAAGUCGCGCUGAUAUCGGUGCUUUAGUUGGUUCGAUUGAACCAACUAAAGCAUCAGAGAUCGAACCACACCUAAACUGCUGGUUUGGUCACCUAGAUCGCGCCUAGGCGCCGGCGCCUCUUUGAAGCGCGUCGCCUGGAAAUGAAGUGAGGCGCUCGGGCCUCGCCUCGCCUCGCCCGAGCGCCUAGGCGAGCGCCGGAGCGCCUUUUUAAAUCACAGUGUCAAACUGAAAUCUCGUUAUUUGUUAUUUUAGACACACUAGGAAUAUUUGCACAAACCAGCAUAAAGGCACUCACAGAGUGGCCGAAUUCUCAUUACCCAAAGGCUAGAAGCUUCUUGUGAGGCAACUACCAUCUUCUCUCACAUGGAUGAUUGGUCAGCAACUCAGUGUCAGGGCCCCCAUUGUUCUGCUGGGUCCUGUGGUUGAACCCCUUCAUGCAGUCCAUUGCUCGCCUCAACCUAGCUAGCAUAGGUGAAUCUUCCUAUUUAUUUCUUUAUCUUGCCUUCUCAGGGAAAAAGAUUUGGGAGAGUGAGUCAGAGGUGCUGCAUAUCAGAUGCCAAGUUAUCGCAAAAUGUGUUGAGGAUGAUAAGUUCACUUUGGUCAACCUCAAGGUUGACCAACAUGUUGAAACUAGUUUCAUUAGAUUCUUCAAUCUAAUGCAAUUUAAAUAUUUGAAGUUCACCUCAUAAUGCAUUUAUUUAAUUUUUUAACGAGUUGAAAAUCUGAGUUACAAAUAUAUAUCCAUAUUUAUUUCCUGUUUCACUCUCUUUUCUUGCUUGUCAAUCUCGAAAUUGUCUACCAUAGUGUUGGUUGUUAGUUGCUGAUGUCAGAUAGCUUAGAACAGUUGGAAAGAAAUUGGAUGGAAGUGAUCAUAAAUCUUAUAGUUUUUGGAAAGAGUAAUGUUUUGCAAAUAGUUUAUCCCCUGGCAUUUAGUGGCUCUUUACAUUUUUUUUUUCUUUUAUAGAGAUUGUACUCAUGGAACAGAAUUCUCAGAGGCAAAGUGUUCAUCAAGAGAUGAAGUAUUGCAAACAGAGUUAGUGGAUACCAGUAAUCAAGAAAGGUUUGAUGGACAUGACAAUCACAGAUUAGAAAACAAUUUAGCACCACAAACAUCAAAGCAUGAUUCAGUGUGCAACCAAGGGAAAGUUGAAGUUGGAAAGAAACAACAAACUUAUAGUGGUCCACUUUUACCUUCUGGUGUGUCUGCCAUCUCAUUGUCAGAAAGAGGGCUCACCUCAGAAAGGUAUAGCUAUUAAUAUUGCUAAAUUUUCAUCACACAUAGCAGUAUAAUCCAUGAUCGACAUAGUUCUUUUGAAAUGAUCUUGUAGAUUAUGCUAUAUGACUAGAUGUUUUGCUAGAACAUCUUGCAUUUUUGUUUACUGCUGUUAAAUAAAAGAGUUAUAUUCUUGCUGUUGUCACAACUCAUAAUAAUUGUUUUUUUUUAUAAUUGGAAACCAAGGACAUAGGUAGACCAUACCAGGUCAGUGUGAGUAACCAUUGGACUAAACAGUAUAACAGUAUUCUAAUAUGUUGCAUCGUGAUGCACGAGCAUGUGGCUGUCGUACAAUUAGAUGUUGGGAAUUAGUUAGGUUGAAGCAUCAUACUUAUGAAAAUGUGCAUUAAAAUUAAUGAUGAGAUUUUUUUACUUUGUGUCAUUCUCUAUUUCCGCUAGCAAAUAUAUUUUUCCUGUUAAUGCAGAAAUUCUAGUGUUAUUGGUUCAAAGAGCCUGCUUGAUGUAUAUUCUACAAAAAUAUUGUUCAAUUAAAUUUUCACCAUGGGAACUUGAAUUGCUUAUAAUCAUAUGACUGAACUUGAUGGUCUUUUUAGUAAUAAAUAAUGCAUGGAUUGACAUAGUAUAGGUGCUGUUAUGGUAUAGACCAAGGAUUGAAAUAUCGUACCGUACCAGAGUUUCGACAUUCGUUCGGUACGGUACGAUACUGUAUUAUACCGGUCGGUAUAUAUAUAUAUAUAAAUAUAUAAAUAUAUAUAUAAUGAUUAUAUAUAUAUAUUUAUAUAUAAAUAUUUUUAUAAAAGGCGACGUUGCAUCGUCUUUUAUAUAUAUAUAUAUAUAUAUAUAUAUAUAUAUAUAUAUACUGUCGAUAACGGGCGGUCCGUGUACCAGUCUGCUGAUGGACCGGUACGUACUGUUCAUACUAGGCAGUAUUAUUCGAAAUUGAAGACCUGGGUAUAGACUGACAAAAUGCCUUCUAAGGAAACAUUGGAUGUGUCGAAGGCCCUUUCCAAUCAGCAUGUACUCAUAACUAAAAUUAUCGUGUCAAGAAUCUUUAGUAUAAUGAAUCUUUUCUCCAUCUAGCUAUAUUAGGAGUUAUGUUCUCCAAUAAUUCUUGGACCAUUCUGCCCUUUCCUGCUUCUCAUAAAUCCCUGUGUUUAGACAUAUCCUGCUUUGGCCACCUCUAAUCUCAAAUUGUUUUACCCUUUAUAGUUGUGCUUAGAAGACAGAUCAUCCUUUCCUUAUUCUGGAGUGCUUUGAAAAAAGAUUUUAUUCCUUUUGCCUCAGCUUAAUCUUUAAUCGUCUAGUUCUGUAAUAAUUAUUUUUUCAACAUUGUCGCUCCACUAUGCAAGCUUUUUGAAAAUAUUCUAUGUUACUAAUGAAAUAUGUAUUUUCAUUUAAAGAAUACUGCAUGGUCACAGAUGAAUUAGAUGCACCUUCCACAUUGUACGUCCUGCUGUUUUGCAUUUUCUUCCCUUCUAGUUGAGUGUUUAUAUUAUCUAUGUUGCUAGAAUGACCUUGUUAUAUUGUGAAAAAGAAGAGCUCAUCUCUCAUGUAGUGCAUCAUUCUCAUUCUGGAACAGAUACAGUGAUUAUAAUAUUAGGAUUAUUAGUUUUUCAUAACGCAGCGGUUUGUUUCAAAUUCGGCACUCUUAGUUUUCAUCUCAGUUAAGUUUACAAAAAAAUUGUGCCGCAAUUAUGAUAUAUUAUCAUCACAAAACACAGGGAGAUAGCAUGUGUUGACAUCUUUCUUAAGAUAUAGAUAACAGUCUUCCUAAAUGCAGCGUACUCAUGGUUAUGGUUGUCAUGUCGAUGUCAUGUGACAUUACUAUUGGCACAAAGAUCUGAGUUCACUAAUUCUAAAUCUUUGCACAUAAUUUUUUAUGUAUCAGUUCUGCUUCUGUUUUGCUAGGACUGAAAGUGACAAUCAGCAAGGAACUGAGAAAUAUAAACGUGAUGCACGCAAAAUCACAAACUUUAGUGGCCCACUGAUGCUCCCAAACCGUGCCUCAGCUAACAGCUUAUCUGCUCCCAUGCGGUCUUCAGCAGGUAUAUAAUAUUUAUUGUUUAAUAUUCGAUUCUACGUGUCUCACAUAUGAUCUGGGUUUGUUAUGUGCUCUUAAUUGGACUGGUGGCAAUAUAUUCAAAAGCUGAUCCCUAGUGAUGUCAUUUUAGCCAUGCUGCAUAUAAUGAUCUUUUCAAAUUAGAACAUUACUCUUUUCUUUGUUUUCACUUUUACAGGUUGUGGAGACUUAUUGGAGGACAAGAUUAAGCCUAAUGUGGUUCAAAUAAAAGGCCGGUUUUCAGUUACGUCGGAAAAUGUGGAUCUUGUAAAAGUAAGCUCCUGCGGAAUUAGUCAUUCUAACUAGUUUGGUUAUACUUAUACUAAAAGAUAAUAUAAUUUUAGGACUUACCACUAUCUAACAUUUCAAGAAGGUCAUCCCAGGUACAUUUCAAUUCAAGAUUCAUAUUCCAUGAAUGACUUUAUCAUUGCAGAUACCCACAUUUCACCUUUACAUGACAUUGAAUUUUCUUUUCCAGGGAUCUUCUUCCAUGAGAAAAUCUGCCAGUGUUGGUGAUUGUUUAGUUCAACCAAAACCAGCAGUAUGCUGAUUCAUCUUAUUAUAAGCUUUUCCAUUCCUUUUCUUAUUAUUUUCUCAUGGCAUGUGUCCUCUACUGGUUGCCAAUUGCUUGGCGAUGCUGUGUAUUCUCUGCAGUAGUAUUCUCAUAAAUUCUUAGGUACAUUUUAUAUGAUAGGAGAGCAUGAAUCGACAUAUAAUAGAAGGAUAGCUGUUCCUAUGUAGAAUGUUGUACAAGAGAUAUUUAACCAUCAACAGUUACAAUGUUGUCCUUGGUGUAUCUCACUGCUCGAUAUUGAUAUUAAGAUUAAAUUUUACAAUUGUUGAACAUUGUUUUUAAACUCUUUAUCAGCAUUUUUGAGAUUUCUUUUAUCACGGUUGUCAAAGUGAGUACAGGGUUUUAGUCAAUACACCCUUAAGCCUGUGUGGAAUCCAUAAACAGACGACAGUAUCACGAAAUCAAACAUUAUUGUCUCUAUGUUUAUUGAAGAACAUCGUAUAGUUCAACAUUAAAGAUCUUAAUGCUGAAUACGUUUGAUACAAAAAAGGUUAAUGUUUGAGUUCUAUAUAAACUUUCUAUGUUGAUUUAUGUUUCAAUGAUUGAUAAACUUCCAAUAACACGAUGUAGAAGUGUCAGCAAACACAUUAGUCAAGUGCAUAUGAAGCAAAGUGCAAAGCAACUAAGAUUUUUUUUUAUUUAAACGCAUGCAGAAUUGUUUUAUAUUUAAUUUUAGUUACCAUAUUUUUCUCUAUGUAAAUGUCCAUUAUGGUAGUCAGAAUAAAUUAUAGCAUACACUGGGAACUAGUUAAAAUGGUCAUUUAUCUCCAGAUAGUAGGUACUACUUGUAACCAUGAAGUAAUUGCCUAUGAGAAAAAGAGGUCCUUUGCCGUCCAGGUGGUUCCUAUCUAGUCUACAGGCAGGCACCUGGCUUAAUGCAUUUUUAUGGGCAUAAAGGUUCCUUACACUGGAGGUCUUUCAUACUAGCUGCAUAUAUAUGGUACCAAUAUUGGUCAGUAUGCUUUACAAAAAAAAUUAGUUAAUGUUGAAAUUUAGUCAUAUCAACUGUACAUUGGCAUAUUAUAACUUGGUUGCAACCCAAGGUUUGACAUACCAAAGUGUACUGCUCGGUAUAGGCGGUAUAUACCGGUCUGAUAGAGAAUCGUUAUGGGUGAUACAUCGGUACACCCCAGUGUAUCAUGUGUCUGUACGUUUGGUACAAACUCGAUACAUAUCGUAUCAACAACUAGUCGGUACACCGGUAUAGACCAGUAAUACGAACCAUGAUACACCUAGUAUACCAUGUCACUCUAAAUCUCGGGUUGGACAUGGACAUGAUACUCUAUCAAUCGUCUCAAGCUAUAUCAUAAAAUCAUUUUAGCUUAUUGAUAGUGCCCAAGGAAUGUUGUUCCAUGGAAUGCGGGCACAUCCAACGGGGAACCCCUUUUUUGAUAAUCAGCAUGCCUCUCAUGCUUGCCAGCACAGGCCUAAAACUUGACCACAUGAAGGCAUAGAUAGCAUUGAAUGGGCCAGCACAUGCAAUUCUUGCUAGUACCUAUGACAUGAAUCGCUCUUUGGAUGUGAGUUUAACCAGAUCUGAUGUCAUGGUCAUUUUAUUUUAUUUUAUUCUAUUUUUAUUCUCAUUUUGUUUAUAAUUGAGAUUGGAUAUUAGUUUUUCCUUUUCUUUUGUUAGGUGGAAUAGAUGUUACAUAACCUCUUAGAUUUUGCUUCUUAACUAAUGCUUCUUAUUUGAAUAAAGUAAAGUUUUAAGGUUUUUAAAAUAUUACAUACAAAAGGCACCCUUUCUAGUUGUAAAAUUAGUACAUACUUGCUGAAAUUAAUUUUCCUACUUGAUAAUGAUUGAUUCUAGAUUUUUUACAGGGAGGUAUAUUAUAUUAGGUACCUGAUCAUGUUAGAAGCCAGUUCGUUGUAUCUAAAUUUGGUUUCAAUGGUAGAGUUUAUAUUAUGACAGUCCUGAACUGAUUAAUCAUUUUUCUGUGUGAUUUCUUUUUCUUUUCAUGUUCCUCGAAACUCUCUUCUUUUCUUCUUUUAAUUAUUUUUGUGCUACAUCUACACCAAAGUGGUAGUGUAGCCCUCUUCUGGAUCUAGAUCCUGCAUCUGAAUAAGAAAUCCUGAUGACAAUGGGCUUGAGAAUUGAAAGGUUUGUACACAAUAAAUAGAGGCGUCAACAACCAACUUGAAACUGUUAAUGGGAGAAAAAUCUCCCUUAAACAGAAAUUUUUUUUGUUCUCUGUUCAAUCCAGUGAUUGAAAUAGGCGCUCGGGUGAGGCGAGGCGAGGCUCGAGCGCCUCGCUUCAUUUCCAAGCGGCAUGCUUCAAAGAGGCGUUGCCCGAGCCUAGGUGUCGAGCACUUCGAGCGAGCGCCCGGGUUAAACCAAGCGACCGAACCAGCGUUUUUGGUUUGGUUCGAUCUCCGGUGCUUUAAUUGGUUCAACCGGUGCUUUAGUUGGUUUAAUUGAACCAACUAAAGCACCGAUAUCAGCCUUCCUCUCGCGACUUCCCAACCCCAACCCUGCUCGCCGCUGUCGCUGCCACUGUCGCCGCUUGUCACUGCCACUGUCGCCGCUCCCGCUCCUAUUGCUCGUUGCUACCAUUAUCGCUGCCAUUAUCAUCGUUGCCGCUGUCGCUGCUCGUUGCUACCACUGCCAUUGCCACUGUUGUCACUCGUCGUUGCCGCUACUCGCUACUACCGCUACCGCUGCUCACAAUCAGCAGCCUCGAUCUUCCUCUUACUCACACUCUUCUCACUUCGAUAAUAUACUAUUAAAUGUAUAUUAAUAGUAUACUGCUAACUAUGUAUACCGGUAACGAUAUUUUUAUUUAUUAGAUUAAUAAUAUAUUAUUUUGAUUUUAAUACUGUUAACUUUUAUUUAUUUGAAAUUAUUGUUAUUAUUUUGAAUUUUGAGACUUUUUGUUAAUGUGAUAUUGUGAUUUUGUAAGAUUUUCUUAAUUUAAUAUCAUAUUUUUAUUUAAAUAAUUAUAUUUAUUAAUUAUAUUAUAUAUUUUUAUAUUUUAGCCUCUCGCUUUAGUUAGGCGAGCGCCUAGCAUCUUGGGCUUUUUUGGACCUUGGCGCCUUUUGGCGCCUAGCACUUUUUAAAUCACUGGUUCAAUCUCAUAUUGGUCUUCUGUUUUAAAAGUUGAAAAUUUAGAGAAGCUACACAAUAAGAUAGGUAGUUCCAGUGAUAGGCAAAUUGUUCUUAAGUUCUCAUAAUAGAAAAACAUCUAGAGACGAGAGUUAUAAUAUAUGUGCACAAUAAUCUUGAUCUUACGAUUUAGUAUCAAUCGGUUUAUUUAUCCGACCAAGUACUAGUCUUGAAACAUAUAACUGAAAACAGGUUCAACACCAUUUGUUCUGUUUUAUUCAAUGAUAUUCAGCAGUAUAGAUCCUUAUACUGCUUGGUAUAUUAGUAUUAUACCAGUCUGAUAGGUUUUGAGACCGAACCGAGAUUAAACCCUUGGUGCCACUGUAACAAAAAGUUAUAAUGUUUUAACUAGCUUUGGUCAAUUACAUUGAUGUUUUUGCAUCUUUGAGAUCUUUGUAGAGCAAUAUCUUUGGUUGAACUAAGAACAAAUAGAUCCCUCAUAAUAUUUCUGGCCUUCUCACACCACUAACUCUAAUCUACUCAUCUUGUUUACCCAUGGUAUCUAUAGGUUUCUGUUGGAUAUGUUCAUAUUGUCUUAUAUGGUCUUCUCUAAUUUUAUUUUUUUCUAUCAAUAUUACAACUAAUUAUUGUCUAAUCACUAAUGACACCAUAUUUUUGUUACAAAUAUGUAUAUAGCAAAUCUUCUUAAACCUACCUAUUCUCGUGUUGUUUUUAAUAAUGAAAACCAAACUGUGUUGUUUUCCAUUAUAUUCAUUUUUCAUAGGUUUCUAAAAUAACCCAUUGUCCACUAGUGUGUGGGAAUAAACAUUUUCAAAUGAAAAUUCCAUAUCAUACACGGAUCAAACAUAUAAUUCCUGAUACAAUUAUCACAACAUUUUGUUAUGAAAAUAAUAUUGCUCAGUUGGUUUCCUAUAAUAUUUGUCUAUCUAUUAAAUUUUUUUUAGACAUUAUAGAUCUUAGUCACACGAUUCUAACUUUGCAGCCACCUGGUCAACAUCCAAAGGAAAUUAGCAACAGUAAUCCAAAGGAAUUUGGCAACAGUUCAGUACCUGCUUCCAUUGUCAUGCCCCACCUUCAGAAUCUUUUCCAACAAACAUCUUUUCAACGAGUAUAGUGAUACUGUUUUCUCUUUUGCCUUCUUUACCUGCCAAAUUCAUGCAUAUUUGCAGUAGAAUGUAACAAACUGUUUUGAGUUUCUGAUAAUUCUGAUGUACCUAAACAUGGUAUUUUAAUUAUCAGGAUCUUCUUAUGAGUCUGUUGAAUAGUUUGCAACAAAACGAGAUAGUUGAUGGUGAGUUCAAAUUUUUUCCACUGAUAUCUGUGUUCCAAAGAUUCAUGGAUUUUUUUUGCAGUGUUCCCAAGUGGAAUGCCUUCCCAAACUCAAAAUUUGAAGAAUGAGAAGUUGGUAAGUGUACCUUUCCAUUUUAUCCUCAAUUCCAUCUGCAGGUAAUUUUUCUACUGGCUUUGCAAUUCCAGGUACAUGGAGCAAAUGCUUUUGUAUCGUUAGUCCAAAGAAUUGUGUUUCUCAAAUCUGAAAAGUAUAUGUGGAUUUGUCUCGUCUUAACUAUGAUAACCUUUCCUGAUCGUAUGAUUGUUGGAGUUAAAAUAAGCACUAACAUGAGUUUACUAGUAUUUUAAGUUAGUAAAAUUGUUCUCUCUAAUUAUUCUCGUCAAAAUCUUGUUAUUACUUGGUGUUGUGGUUAGCUUAGACAAUAUUGUAGACCCAUUUUGUCCAAGUUAUGAUGAGUUUAAGGUACUUUUCAUAUCCAUCUAUGCUUACUUGUCUCACACACCUGCCAUGUAAAUGGAGGCAGCGAUGGGGCUAUAGUUGGGUCGCAGAUGGGAACAAUGUUAAUGAAGGAUCGAUAUUGCAUCAUAUAUUUUUCUGAUAGUAUUGGACAGUAUGAGUUGGUACUCAGUGUACCAGAAUCCUGCCUAUCUGACCAGUUAUCUGAUGUGGUAUCAGAUUAAGCUUUAAAUCCUUAAUUGUAAUACCAUUUUUCAAUGAAAACAAGCAAUGGAGAAAAAUAUGGCUAUAAUUGUUAUAAUUGGAAAAGAUGGCUAUAAUUGUAAUAUCUCUGAAGUUCUAUUUUUUUGUUUUUCAAUAUCACAAUCGAAGUCUUUGAAAAAUAUAUUAAUAGUGCAGCAUUUAUGUCCUCAUGGUAAAUUGCAGAAGUUGUGCAAAAUGGACUGCUAUGUAUCAUUUGCAUCUUGAAAUGUUCAGUAAAGGAGGUUUUCCCAAUCAAUGUAGCAUUAGCAUCAUCUUUUAAUAAUUGUGUGAGAAUUUUUUCCGUGUGGGUUCUCUCAAAUUCUUGGGGAUAUGUGAACUACAAUCAAAUAUGAAAGAGAAGUUUUCUGCACACAUGUAGGCAGAAAAUGUAGGUAGUAAAUGGGUAGCUAAGGUGCCACACAUAGUUUAGGCAUUAGGCAGGUGCCCAACAAUCAAAUUGCUUUAGAAAUUUUUAGAAAUCUACAUUUGAUUGUAUCAUUGUUGGUUAAUUCAUGUAUCACGGGACAAAACUAAUUAACUUUUUUGACUAAAUGGCAACUUGUAUUGUAGAUGAUGAUUAUUCAUGCAUUCGUCAAAACCAAUUCACUUGUUUGAUUAAAUGUCAGAUUAUACGUGCUGUUUAGAUGUUCCCCUGUUACCUAGCUGCUUGUGUUGAUGUUGAUCACUAGAUCACUGCCCCACCUAAGCAAGUGGUUUUUCUCCAUGCAUGGGGAAGUCUAAUUUCUUUAGUUUAGCGAUUCUUUUGGUGAUGUAUUUAUGAAAUCAUUUUCUUGCUUGAUAUUUCAUUUUUUAUUUUCUUUGUGUGUGCAUGUUAUCUGUGUUAAGGCUAGUCUAUAUGCUGCCAUAUGCACAGGCUUUUGUUUUGCCUACAUAUAUCUGUCUGUCCUUUAAUCUAUAAACAUAACCUGUAUUUGGGUUAGCUAAUAUGAUCCUUAAGAUAGCACUGGAAGGCCCUAUGGUUCAUUACACUUGCAAGACCUAAAUCUGAAGAUGUGCUUGUGCACACUGUUCUGUCUGACUACUUAUAACAUGAUGAAAUAUGAACAAAGAAAUCAUCAUAACAUUUUUCUUUUUUUCAGCUUUGAGUGAUUGAAGUAGCAAUGGCUGGAAAAAAGUCUUUAAUGUUCAUUUAUAUUUGUCUUUCUAACAGUUGGAUGCUGCAUACACUGAAAGAGAGCGACUACUGCUAAGUAAAAUCUUAGAGCUACAAGCCAGGUACAGUUAGCAUGAUUGUUUUUGUUUGUUUUUCGUUUUGCAUGAUUGAUUUUCUUUCCCACUACAUCUUGUAGAAGCAAACAUCUCUAUUCUGAGAUUUCAAGUCCUCACAUUGCAGAGGUUGUAUGUUGUGUCAAAGAAUGUCAAAAUCAUUUGGAUUAUUAUGUUCAAUCCCUUCUCUAUCUGCAUAGUGAUCAACUGCUAUCCUCACAUCCAAGAGGUGUCAAAUAUGGACAUCUAUGAUACAUAUGAAAUGAAUCAAGGUUCGUAAUUUCAUAUCGUACCGGAGUUUCAAGCUUUGCUCGGUAUGGUACGGUAUAGGCGUACUGAGCGGUAUGCUAGGGUGUACCACUUGGUACACGUAUAUAUAUAUAUAUAUAUAUAUAUAUAUAUAUAUAUAAAGGAGGCAUACGUUGCCUCCUUUUCUUCUCCUCGUCGCGUCAAACGAGGAGAAGACUUCUCCUCAUCCGCGGCAUACGACAAAGGCAUCGAAAGCCGCAGACGCCAUAGAAGCCGAGUCGCCACCUCUCCAUUACCUUUUGUCUAAGGAUCGUUGAGGGAGGGUGGCGUCGUAUCGGAAAGCAUCGAGGUUCUCCCGAUUCUCCCUCUUCUUCGAGCGCCUUCUCCCUCUUCUCUCUCGAUGCUUCUUCUUCUCUCACCACAACCAGGCCGUAGCCAGGUUGGCGGGUGGUCUGCGUACCAGUCUACUGGUGGAUUGGUACGUAUCGCCCAGUACGAGCGGUAUUAUUCGAAAUUAAAUUCAUUGAAAUGAAUUUUGUUGGUCUCUUUCCUGAUUUUUUUCACUGACCUUUAUCAAUUAUAUGUUUGAUUAUUUUAAGUUGCUUUUUAAAUUUGAAUUAACAUUUUGUCAAUUCCAACAGUUGCAGUGGCCAUUGUUCAGCCAAACUCGUGGUUUGCCCAUGUUUUUACAUAUUCAAAAUUUGUCUUAUUACAAGUUUUAUUACAAGCAAUAAGAUGGCAGAUAGGGGUCAACUUUUUUUUUUUGUUGACUCUUAUCAUAAUGAACCAGAAUACAUAUUUCUAAAUUGCACCAGCUAUUAUGAUGUUUUAAGUUAGACUUGGCUGGUAACAAGCAAAAGUUGGUUUAUCAUAAUCAUUUCCUUGACAGCUGACUGAUUCAUUUAUGUGCAACACAGGAUGAAUUCAAGCUAAUACAUACUUGAUGACUGACACUCCCUUUUCAUAAACUAUUACAUGCUAUAUAAUCUUACAUUAUAUUGCUAUACCAUCAAAAAUAUACCACUAGGACUUGUGUGUGUGUGUGUAUAAUGAAAGGCCUAAUUGCAUAUUCCAAAUCCGAUUACAUAUGUGCCUAUGUACUCUUUUUUCUUUAAUUGUAGUAUAGGGAUCAAACUCUCAGUUGAAAAUUCUCUUUUUGCUGCAGGAUGAUUGGUCUAGCUGAUGAGCUGACUGCAGCAAAACUGAUUCAUUUUCAGGUAAGUACUGCUUUUUAUAGUUCUCUCCAGUGAGCUGACCAUGCCAAUUUGCAGAUAUUGUGUAAUUUGGUUAUAGUGCCUUGAAAUAUUUUGCUUCUGCCCAGUGCAUCAAAUACAUCUUGGCUAAUUUAGUUCAUCAGUUUCGUAAAGGGGCAUAGAAGUAUCUGAUUCUGGAAUAUGAUUAUGUUAAAUGGAAACUUUUGCUAUUCUAUUUUUUAUCUGUUUCAUUCUAGCAAGUAGAUAAUUGAACGCACAGGAACAGUAAUAUGAGAACCUAUGUUCUGGUUAGGCACUUGGAAUUGGAGAGGAAAAAUCUAUAAUGAAAAUUGUGCAGUAUUUUCUUUAAUCCUUCUGCCAAGCAAGCCAUUUAAAGUAGACUUCUUAAAAUAGAGCUUUUAGAUUUUAAUAACAUUACAUCACAUAUUAGAACUUCCUCGUUUCUUUAGUAUAUUGCAAAAAGAACCAUCUGUCUGAUUUUGACCAAAAUAUCAAGAUUAGUGAAUCUAGAAAACUUUUACUGAUAGUACUGGUUAAAGUUGAUAAUAUGGGUCACAACACAGUUUUAGAGUUGGGUGUCUUUAUUACAUACGAACAGUAUACUUGAAAGUCAAACAUAAAAAACCUGGAACAUACAGUCUCACAAUAAGAUGAAUAAUCAAUUCACCCAUAAUCUCCACAUGAUAAGUUGAUAUCUGUGUCAACAUUUUGUCGUGGUUUCUAGGAUUGUUGUCAUGAUAGAUACCCAAAUAAAUAUGAAAGGAGACCUAUUCUCUAAGCAAGCCGCUGUGUGCAAUCUGUAGAAACAAAAAUAAAAUUGACUUCUUUCCUCAUUCUCAUUGGCAAGAUUCUUGGAUCCAAUUUACUACCUAUGAAGUGGUUGAAGAGAUUUUCUAAAGUUGAUUUCUUUACUAGUCUGGAUUAAUUGUUAAGGGGAUUUACAAAGUGGAUCAAUAUUUUUCCAUUCCUUGUAUCAAUGGUUAACAUUUGAUGUUGAGCAAUAAAAAAAAAACUGGUGUAUUGAAGCAGAUAUCAUAUAAGCAUAGAAAGAAACAUCGGUUAGGUUUGGGACUUGAACAAUUUGGACCAUGACAGUUGUGGUGUGGUGCCGGCAAGAUGUUGACUUGAAGGAUGUGGUUUGCAUCAUGGUAAUCAUGCGCCAAGGCAUCCUUCUGUAUAUUUUUGUCUUAUGCCAGCCAGUUGAUUCCUGUGCAGUAUCAUGCCAGUGUUUUAUCAGCACUAGGCAUAUUGUCAAAAACUAGAUCCUUAAUUUAAAGUUGAGUGCAAGUAGGUACGAGUUCCUUUUUUUGCAUACUAAACACUACAUUAUGGAUAUUUAGGGAAAGAAAAGAUAUUUGUUUAUUCUCUUCUCAAGUUUAGCAGAUUUAUAAUAAUUGGGGUUGCAGUCUAAUUUUUCCUGUUAUUAAUGCCUGCAGAAAGAAAAGACAGCUGACUGGAAUCUGUUCCAUUUAAUUUCAUUUUUACGCUGUUCCUGUUGAAUUCACAUCAACUUUGUGAAACUGUUGAUGCUCAAAUUUCAUUCCUCUUUAAGUGUGUGUGUGUGUAUAUAUAUAUAUAUAUAUAUAUAUAUAUAUAUAUAUAUAUAUAUAUAUAUAUAUAUAUAUAUAUAUAUAUAUAUAUAUAUAUAUAUAUNNNNNNNNNNNNNNNNNNNNNNNNNNNNNNNNNNNNNNNNNNNNNNNNNNNNNNNNNNNNNNNNNNNNNNNNNNNNNNNNNNNNNNNNNNNNNNNNNNNNNNNNNNNNNNNNNNNNNNNNNNNNNNNNNNNNNNNNNNNNNNNNNNNNNNNNNNNNNNNNNNNNNNNNNNNNNNNNNNNNNNNNNNNNNNNNNNNNNNNNNNNNNNNNNNNNNNNNNNNNNNNNNNNNNNNNNNNNNNNNNNNNNNNNNNNNNNNNNNNNNNNNNNNNNNNNNNNNNNNNNNNNNNNNNNNNNNNNNNNNNNNNNNNNNNNNNNNNNNNNNNNNNNNNNNNNNNNNNNNNNNNNNNNNNNNNNNNNNNNNNNNNNNNNNNNNNNNNNNNNNNNNNNNNNNNNNNNNNNNNNNNNNNNNNNNNNNNNNNNNNNNNNNNNNNNNNNNNNNNNNNNNNNNNNNNNNNNNNNNNNNNNNNNNNNNNNNNNNNNNNNNNNNNNNNNNNNNNNNNNNNNNNNNNNNNNNNNNNNNNNNNNNNNNNNNNNNNNNNNNNNNNNNNNNNNNNNNNNNNNNNNNNNNNNNNNNNNNNNNNNNNNNNNNNNNNNNNNNNNNNNNNNNNNNNNNNNNNNNNNNNNNNNNNNNNNNNNNNNNNNNNNNNNNNNNNNNNNNNNNNNNNNNNNNNNNNNNNNNNNNNNNNNNNNNNNNNNNNNNNNNNNNNNNNNNNNNNNNNNNNNNNNNNNNNNNNNNNNNNNNNNNNNNNNNNNNNNNNNNNNNNNNNNNNNNNNNNNNNNNNNNNNNNNNNNNNNNNNNNNNNNNNNNNNNNNNNNNNNNNNNNNNNNNNNNNNNNNNNNNNNNNNNNNNNNNNNNNNNNNNNNNNNNNNNNNNNNNNNNNNNNNNNNNNNNNNNNNNNNNNNNNNNNNNNNNNNNNNNNNNNNNNNNNNNNNNNNNNNNNNNNNNNNNNNNNNNNNNNNNNNNNNNNNNNNNNNNNNNNNNNNNNNNNNNNNNNNNNNNNNNNNNNNNNNNNNNNNNNNNNNNNNNNNNNNNNNNNNNNNNNNNNNNNNNNNNNNNNNNNNNNNNNNNNNNNNNNNNNNNNNNNNNNNNNNNNNNNNNNNNNNNNNNNNNNNNNNNNNNNNNNNNNNNNNNNNNNNNNNNNNNNNNNNNNNNNNNNNNNNNNNNNNNNNNNNNNNNNNNNNNNNNNNNNNNNNNNNNNNNNNNNNNNNNNNNNNNNNNNNNNNNNNNNNNNNNNNNNNNNNNNNNNNNNNNNNNNNNNNNNNNNNNNNNNNNNNNNNNNNNNNNNNNNNNNNNNNNNNNNNNNNNNNNNNNNNNNNNNNNNNNNNNNNNNNNNNNNNNNNNNNNNNNNNNNNNNNNNNNNNNNNNNNNNNNNNNNNNNNNNNNNNNNNNNNNNNNNNNNNNNNNNNNNNNNNNNNNNNNNNNNNNNNNNNNNNNNNNNNNNNNNNNNNNNNNNNNNNNNNNNNNNNNNNNNNNNNNNNNNNNNNNNNNNNNNNNNNNNNNNNNNNNNNNNNNNNNNNNNNNNNNNNNNNNNNNNNNNNNNNNNNNNNNNNNNNNNNNNNNNNNNNNNNNNNNNNNNNNNNNNNNNNNNNNNNNNNNNNNNNNNNNNNNNNNNNNNNNNNNNNNNNNNNNNNNNNNNNNNNNNNNNNNNNNNNNNNNNNNNNNNNNNNNNNNNNNNNNNNNNNNNNNNNNNNNNNNNNNNNNNNNNNNNNNNNNNNNNNNNNNNNNNNNNNNNNNNNNNNNNNNNNNNNNNNNNNNNNNNNNNNNNNNNNNNNNNNNNNNNNNNNNNNNNNNNNNNNNNNNNNNNNNNNNNNNNNNNNNNNNNNNNNNNNNNNNNNNNNNNNNNNNNNNNNNNNNNNNNNNNNNNNNNNNNNNNNNNNNNNNNNNNNNNNNNNNNNNNNNNNNNNNNNNNNNNNNNNNNNNNNNNNNNNNNNNNNNNNNNNNNNNNNNNNNNNNNNNNNNNNNNNNNNNNNNNNNNNNNNNNNNNNNNNNNNNNNNNNNNNNNNNNNNNNNNNNNNNNNNNNNNNNNNNNNNNNNNNNNNNNNNNNNNNNNNNNNNNNNNNNNNNNNNNNNNNNNNNNNNNNNNNNNNNNNNNNNNNNNNNNNNNNNNNNNNNNNNNNNNNNNNNNNNNNNNNNNNNNNNNNNNNNNNNNNNNNNNNNNNNNNNNNNNNNNNNNNNNNNNNNNNNNNNNNNNNNNNNNNNNNNNNNNNNNNNNNNNNNNNNNNNNNNNNNNNNNNNNNNNNNNNNNNNNNNNNNNNNNNNNNNNNNNNNNNNNNNNNNNNNNNNNNNNNNNNNNNNNNNNNNNNNNNNNNNNNNNNNNNNNNNNNNNNNNNNNNNNNNNNNNNNNNNNNNNNNNNNNNNNNNNNNNNNNNNNNNNNNNNNNNNNNNNNNNNNNNNNNNNNNNNNNNNNNNNNNNNNNNNNNNNNNNNNNNNNNNNNNNNNNNNNNNNNNNNNNNNNNNNNNNNNNNNNNNNNNNNNNNNNNNNNNNNNNNNNNNNNNNNNNNNNNNNNNNNNNNNNNNNNNNNNNNNNNNNNNNNNNNNNNNNNNNNNNNNNNNNNNNNNNNNNNNNNNNNNNNNNNNNNNNNNNNNNNNNNNNNNNNNNNNNNNNNNNNNNNNNNNNNNNNNNNNNNNNNNNNNNNNNNNNNNNNNNNNNNNNNNNNNNNNNNNNNNNNNNNNNNNNNNNNNNNNNNNNUGCGCUCUCCCCCGCAGAACGCACCCCCACCGUGCGGGACGUCUGUGCCCUCAAUUCUCCCCUCUCCGCGGGUGCUGUGUGUGUGUACAUAUAUAUAUAUAUAUAUAUAUAUAUAUAUAUAUAUAUAUAUAUAUAUAUAUAUAUAUAUAUAUAUAUAUAUAUAUAUAUAUUGGUUAUUGUGUGGUUCACUAUAACUGAGCAGUUGCCUUUCUAUCUCAGUUGCAACAAGAGUUAAAUGCAUUGUAUUGCCAAGAAGAAGUAGAAGAAGAAGGAGAAGAAGAAUAUAGGAGGAAUGAAGAAAUAGAGGAAACCUGAUUAGUCCGGAGAAAUUCUGGGACAAUUUGUUGUGCAGAUAUAAAGAUAUUUCUGGCUGAGAUCUUCCUCGUACUUUGUUUGUUGACUAACCUCGCUUAAGAAGAUCUAAUAGAAAGAGCCACAGAAGUGAUCGGUUACUUGGCCACAACUCAAGACAGCAUACAGUUCUAGCUGGCUGGGGAUUUGAUUUGUCAGUGAUGGGGUCCAGAUUUUGCUUCGCUCUCACAAGGACGCCCAACCCACUUGUAAAUGGUCGGUGUCAACUUAGCUCUCGGGUGAUGUCAUUUUUGUGAAUUCAUUUGUUUGUAAUUUGGUAAUUGUCACUUUGUGGAGAACCCAUGGGGGGACACACCUUACAAUUAAAUCUGCGGCACGACAAGCGGCUCACUCUCUCUUUUUUCAGGCUCUUGUUUGCUGCUGUGAUUGCAUGAACAUUUAUUUGAAGUUUGACAUUUAGGGAUCAACGAGCAGGUAACUGCUUUUACAGUCUAUUUACUGUGCUGGAUGUUAUUGAGAUAAUAUAGUAAUCAUAUUUGUCUUCAUCUGCUUUCGCUAUAUUUUGAGGCUUAGAUUUUGUGUUUAUUCAAUGUUUGCAUAAUGACAUCUCUGAGCAUCUGUGGUGUGUUAAUAUUAUUGGAGAGGCUGUGAAAAGGCGUUCUUAAUUUGUGAAAGAUUUGUUUUUUAUUCUCUCAUUAGAGUGUGCAUGAUAUCAUCGAUAGGUUGUCUCUGUUUGGAAUUCUUCCUACAUAGUCUGGAUUAUAGUUUUGGAGAGACAUUGGAAACACGAACUUACAGAAUGUAGAAUUAUGAAGGAGAGGUAAUAGUCGAAUCUUGAGCUAGUUUUGUCUCUAGCCGGACAACUGGUGAUAAGCUUCUGCUUUCACAAAGACGAUAGAUAGAUGCACGCCGGCCGGCUGCCGUGGAGAUGGGAGGGCAAGCAAGUCGCUGCAAGAAGAUGGAUCCGUCACAAGUGAGCCACAUUCAAUCCAGAGCUGCAAGCAUCGGGUGCGAGGGCUAUGGCUAACAUGUAUGAAUCAUCAGCAUCGAAUCUGCCCUCCUAGCCACUAGAUCUGAUCUCGAGUUCUGUGGCUGUGCCACGAGGAAAUCUAUCUGACCUCCGUUUCUGUGGCGCAUUGCAUUCGUUAUCGACUUUGAACGCUCGUGUUUUGGGGCACAUCCACAGGCCCAAACAAUGAAUGAAUACAAAACUAGUUCUUCGCGAAAGCUAACAUUUACAGUAUACACACCAAUUUCUUCCCUAAAUCUUUCUACACUUUCGAUGCUCCCAUGUCGAUCUCUCCAGAUCAAAAUUGAUUGAAGCCCCAAACCGAUUUCUUUAGUGAUCACAGAGAGAGAGAGAGAGAGAGAGAGAGAGAGCGAGCGAUAUGUAGUCUUGCCUCCAGAAGCCCAAUUGAUUCGUCAAUGUGGAUGAUCUUUAUCGAGCUUGUCCGGGGUAGCGCUCGCGGCCGACGCCGCCGGCGUCGCGUCUUCCUUCUUGCUCCCACUCUUCAUCUUUAUCAUCCCAUACAGCUUCUUGAACUCCUUGAUUGACUCCUUGCCGAACCCCAGACCGCCGCCGCCGCUGCCCGCAGCUGGGUCCUCCCACCGCCGCCCCGAACCGCUCUCGCUCGGGUUCCGCCCGGCGUUCGACGACGCCUGCUGCAGCGCGCUGAUCACCGACUUGAGCGCCCGGUUGGGCGAUCCACGGUUGGCCAUCAUGAUCUCGCCGACCUCCGCCGGGCUGAUCCUGGCGCCGCUGUGGAACCCCUCCUCCACCUGAGGGUACAGCUUGUGGUCCUUGAGGCCCAGGUAGCUGCUCGCCAGCGUCUUGAACGCCGUGAAGUCGCAGAGCGGGAAGUGGAUGUGCACGUCGAGCCGUCCCGGCCGCAGCACGGCCGGCUCCACCCCCUCCAUACCGCCGCCGUCGGAGCUCAUCGUGAAUACCAUCACCCGCUCCUCGCCGCAGCACGAGAAGAUGCCGUCCAUGAAGUUUAGGAUCCGAGUGAGCUGCGACUCGCCUUCCUCGCCGACGCCCUUGCCCUUGAGGUGGCGAUCGAGGUCCUCGACCAGGAUCACCGACCUGGGGGUGGUGCUGAGGAGGAGGGCCUUCAGGUCGUCGCCGCCGGCGGAGACGCGGGAGAGGUCGACGUCGUAGAUGUCGUAGCCGAGGACCUUGGCCAUGGCCGCCACGAAGGUGGACUUGCCGGUCCCGGGGCGCCCAUGGAGGAGGUAGCUCCGCCGCCAGACCCGACCGAGGCGGUGGUAGUAUGCUCGACCCUUGAGGAAGGACUCCAAGUCGGCGCGGAUCCGCGCCUUAAGUUCCGGGUCCAUCGCCACCGUGUCGAGCGUCGCGGGGUGGGUGAACAGAACCGACCGCCACCGCGGGCCCCCGCCGUCGCCGGCGCCUACGGAGCUGGUGAAGAGCCUGACCUCCCUUCGCCGGAGCUCGAGGUCAUCAGCGACGGACUCGACGUGCUGGAGGUAAGGCCGGAGGACGCGGGUGCGGUCCUGCCGGCGGAGGCGGAGAACGAGGCGGGGAACGCCGCCGGCGCAGGGGGCGUUGGUCCAGGAGACGCGGGCGCCGAGGAAGGAGUCAGUGGCGGAGUGGCCGGGACCGAGGAGGAGGAAGAAGUCGUUAGGCUUGCGACCGGAGGAGAAGAGGUUGGCGGCGGCCGCGUCCUCGAGGGAAGGGAGGGCGGCGACGUAGGCGGCGGCGCGGCGGUACAGGGGGUUCUCCUGCCCGCAAUCGCUGUACCGCGGGAUCUCGAAGUUCUGGUACGCCUGCGUCCGCUCCUCCACCCACCGCCACCACCGCCCCAAGCAGUGCACCAGCGUUUUGAACGAUAGGACGAUCCUCAGGAGCACCGCACCGCCCACCACAGCCAUCACCACCGACGCUAAACUGAUCGGUAUCAUCCCUCUCCGCCCUCACACAGAGCACAAAGCAGAGUCGAAGGAGGACGCGGAGUGGGAAGGAGGAGAAACCACAGCCGAAGGGGACGAGGACACGAAGCGUAUAAAGAAGAGGGAAGGAAGUGUGUGAGAGACCAACUCAUUUAACGCCCAACUUGUGUUCGCUAAAAUGCCCGCCGUACGUUUGACGUUGCAAAACGACAACAAAGGCUCGAACACACGAGGCCGUCAAGGUAUCUUCGGGAAACCACCAUGGCGUGGAUUGCACGAAUUGGAGGAGCAAUUAGCAGCCAUGUAUCGCCGAAGCAUGCCUCGUCAUUGGCCGCAACAUGUGUCACGGAACGGUUAGUGGGAUCUCGGGAAGACCAUCUACGUGACAUGGCGGGUCGCUUUGGCAUUUAGAAUGGGGCCCAUUCAUUGAAUCCCGCGGGUCGGAAGUUGGUUCGGCCAAUAGUAUUGAUUGCAGGGAGUCAGACGCGGAUUUGACGCGGUCGGGACAGCACCCGUUAAGCGAACGCAAACCCACUGGUUGACUUGUCGUUGGACGUAUGCAGGUGGCCAUGUGAUGCGUCGGGGCUUCGGUGGCUGUAUGAGGCGGCAGGGAAGAGUGACAGUUGGAAGUGUCCCUCGGUGGAUCACCGUUCGCUAGUUUGGGACCAGCACCGGAGCAGGUUAAUCAUGGACGCAGCGGAUACCUAGUAGAACGUUCGAGGAAAAAGAAGAGGAGCAAUCAUGGGUUCGACUCCUCAAAAGAUGCGAGGGUAGGGGGACCCAUUGUUCAUUCAUCUCGCUCACGGGUCCGCACGACAGAGCUGAGAAAACAUGGUGGAGUUCGGUGGGAAGAUGAUGAUGCGGAGGAGGAGAUGAUGGGCUGUCUCCCGAAGGCGGAGACAAUGAGGAAAAGCAAACAGCUGGGAUUGGAGACAGUCCCAACUCGUUCCGGUGUGAGUUGUUGAAUAUGGUGAAAUUGUACAAAAGGGAUUGAGAAAGGAUAGAGAGAGAGAGAGUCAUAGAAACUAACGACUGCCAUACGAUUGAUCUAAAAGUCCAACUGAGUGUCUUGGACACGACGGCAUUUGACGGUAUCAAGAAGUUGCAUGUGCAUUAUUUUUCUCAUUCAUGGCAACUCAUUUCGUCACUCUGCAGUAACAUAAACGUAAUUAUUAAACGAUGAAAGAACUGUCGAUAUAGAUGCAGAACAUUAUCGCUCUACAUCUAUGUCAACAUCAAUAUGUUUAUCGAGCAACGUCAUUCUGCAUCUAAGUCGACAUCAAUAUAGAUGUCGAGCAUCCAAUGCAAAGCGACGAAAAGUCCAUUAGGCAAUUACGAUGUUAACGUAGAUAUAAAACGAUCAUCACCUCCCAACGACAUCAUUGUUCGUCGAUUGAAACAUUAAGAAUAUAUUUUAUCUUUUGUUUUUAUGUUUCUGUUAGUUAACCGAUCACAUUAAGAUAAAUAAAACUAUAUAUAUAUAUAUAUAUAUAUAUAUAUAUAUAUAUAUAUAUAUAUAUAUAUAUAUUAGUAUCAAAACCAAAAGUUAUUUUAAAUUAGGUUAAUAAGUCUUAUUAAUUUAAUUUAAACAUCUAGAGGCAGUUCUAUGUAUACAAGUUAUUGCAUAAAGUUGGAUUAUAAGAAGUUAUAGAUCAGUUUAGAGACAGUGUGUGAAAUCAUAAUUAAACCACAUCUUUGCCUCAUAAGAUAAUUUUGAACCCAUCUUGGAAGUGAAGGUUUGUUUGGAUGCGUUUGACUCGACGCAUUUUGAGGAAGUAAAUGGAUUGAUGACAAAAACAUGAUUCAUUUCUAUCGUAUAAUAUAAUUUUUUUUUCCCCAACAAAUAGUCAGUCCAAACCACUAGGUAACUAUUAAUACACAAUCCACCUUCAAGAUUAUCUAAUUCUACAGAGAUCGGUUGGUGCUCAAGCAUGCGCAAAACCUGUUCUAAAUCAUCUAGGAGAGCACAGUGAAACAUACUUUAAGAAAGACUGGGAUUUCAGGCCACUGCUGCACUUCUGAAAGCAUCAAAGAUGACAGUAGCAGUUCACAAAGCUUCAAGCCUGCUUCACAUCGGAUCGACGAUGACUCUGAUGCAGUGUGUUAUGCUCCACAAAACUUUACUACUAAGCUGCAGCUUCAGCAUCUGGAGCAGUUGGUUUUCCAACAGAUGCAUAGCCGGCAGAUGCAACUGGUUCCAUAAAUUGGUCGGUUGGUUGCUUCAUCUCCAUGCCUGCAAAAGGUGCCCUCAUCUGAGAGGCGCUCGAGUCUACGUCCAUGGCAGAAGUCGUUCGGGUAGGUGAUGCUGGCUGUACCUCCACAUCUGGAUAAGCAGCCUUGAACCUUGCCCUAAGACCCUCAUCUACCAGCCGCACCCCCUGCAGUUGGUUGCCAAGUGACAGCCACCUGAUUACAAGAGAUCAACCAUUAAAUGGUACAGAAAGAGAAAUACAUCUUCAACAAUAUGAUAAUCUGCAAGGAAUUCACAUAGAGUAACAACAACAUGAAGGAAAAUGAAAAGGGGGUGCAACUUCUAAGUGGAACAAUACAUGCGAGAACAUCAUGUUCAGUGGUGUCAACCAAAGUUCUCCAUGAGUUCACCAAGGAAAAUGAUCAAGAAAUAACUCGGUAGCGGCUUAUACAUGAACCAAUAUGAUAAGGAUGUAUUAAAUGAUGUAUCUUGGGAUCAAAAUGAAAACCAUUUUCACAGGCAGAACUCGAGCACAUAUAUAAAAGCAAGCACCAAUGCAAACACCGAGUAAAAGAUAUGCACAUGUACAAAAGAUUAGCUAAGACCAAGUAGACAUGAUAUAGACUAGAAGGGAAUACCCUGCAUGCGUAUUGUGCAUACGAGCAAACAAUUCCAACUUUCUCGUCCUCGGGCUAAUUCUUUCCAGCAUCGGGUACAUCUGCAGUUCAAGCAUGUAUCAGUUGCAGCUAGCAGCCAGAAAUAUUACAAUGGGCACAAGUGAGCACAUGUCAGAAAUAUACCAAAAAAUAUGAAGAGUUCAGGAAGCAGAAUUUUCAAAUUCAAUCCCUUCAUAUUUACAAAAUUAUGUAAUAAGAUGUUGAUGAAAUCAAGAAAGAAGUAGCUGCGACAAUGGGUCGUUCUCAAACGAGGAGGAAAGGGCAAGAGACCAAAGGGGUUCUUAUAUCCUCACAACUAUGAUGUAUGAUAGAUAAUUUGUAUGUCGAUACAUAUUGUCUGUAUUCAGUUACAUAGAAAACAGUCACAAAAUAGUUAUUACCUCAUCAGGUUUUCGGCUUGUUUCCCGAACUUCAGCUACAAUAACAUCGGUGUCAAUGUUCCUGUUUACCUCAGGAUUACCCUUUAUUCCAACGAGGCAAUGUUCCUUACUAUGAUUGAGCCAAUGCCCUGUGCGUCCAGUUCUUAUAAUCCGUUGAAGCUGAUUGGUCUUCACCCAAAUGAUUUCCUCGACACGUUUGUAUCCCCAAAGCUCUAAACUGGUAAGAAUGUGAAAUGCUUAGAUGAGCUAAUUCAAGAUCCUCCUACCAUCAUGAUACAAGUUGUUCAAACAAAUAAAUUUUGCAUAUUGCUCUGUAGUAGCAGAACAGAAAGAACACAUACAAUGAUCUAAUUGAAUAAAAAAUAGCAACGACUCAUAAUAAUCAUCAGAGAGUCUGAAUCGAUUAUAAUACAACUUCAAUUUUGUUCAACCUGAAAGAAAAUAACAUAGCAAACUAUAACUAAUUCUUGUCACCAUUUAUUUCAUGGAUAUGGUAAAAGUAUUAAAAGCAAGACACAGUGCACUAAAGAGUUGAGAUAACCAUAUCCUGAGAAACUGAAUAGCCUCUUCUUGUAUCAGCGAAAACCACUUGGUUAAAUUGAAUAUUCAAUUGGUGGUCACAUAAACACAAGAUUAGUUUUGAUCAAGCAUGAAGGGAAUAAGUGAAGUUGUCCCGUAAUUAAGCUAAAUUUAUACCUCAGAUUCAGCGAUUUAAAAAGGCGCUCAGGCGCUCGCCUAGGCGCUCGGGAGAGGCGAGGCGAGGCCCGAGUGCCUCGCUAAUCUCCCAUGCGGCGCGCUUCAAACAGGCGCCGCCUGGGCGCUCGCCCAAGCCCAGGCGCUGGGCGCUUCGGGCGAGCGCCUGGGUUAACCAAGGCGAUCGAACCAGGAUUUUAGGUCUGGUUCGGUCUCCGAUGGUUAGUUGGUUCAAUCAAACCAACUAAAAUUGCUAUAAGUGACAACCGAACCCUAACCCUCGCCGUUGUCGCUCCCGCUGCUCGCAAAUGCUGUCGUUGUCGCCGCUCGCCGCUGUCGCCUCCCGCUGCUCGCAAACGCUGUCGCCACUCGCGCCUCCCGCUGCUCGCAAACGCUUCCGCUGUCGCCGCUCGCGCCUCCCGCUACUCGCCGCUGUCGCUGCUCGCCGCUGCCUCCUUACACUCCGCUGCCGCUGCCGCUUCCUCUUUUCUUAGUCAGCAGGCUCAGCACCCCCUUACACUUCCUUCUUCUCUUUCUGUUAACAGUAUACAGUGUACUGUUAACAGUAUACUGUAUACUAUUAAUAUUGUUAGGUUUAUUUGAAAUUAUUAAUUUUCAAUACUGUUAAUAGAUUUUCUUAAUUUAAUAACAUAUUUUAAUUUAAAAUUUUAAAUAAUUAUAUUUAUUAAUUAUAUUAUAUAUUUUUAUAUUUUAGCGCCUCGCUUCACUCGGGCGAGUGCUUGGGCGAGCGCCUAGCGCCUCGGACGUUUUUGGACCUUGGCGCCUUUUGGCGCCUAGUGCUUUUUAAAUCACUGCUCAGAUUGAUACUUGUUUGGUAACUUUGGUUUACGAAUGUAGGGAUUUUGCUUUACACCUUCAUCCAGACUAAUGAUAUACAGAAGGAAAUAAGUCAUUCGACCAUGUUGUUUAAAUAGGUUAUUCCAUUGACUGUAGCCUUGCACUUAAAUAAAUGCAUCCCUUUAACCAGUCAAUAUCAAUCUUACAAGACGAGGCCCUUUAAAGAUUGAUUAUUACAGGACUAUGUUGUAUUCUCAGACUUAAUCUCAAUCCAAAUAGCCCCUUAGUUUUCUUCUAGUAGUAUUAAGUUUGGUCCAAGUUCUAACUUCUAAGUGGUAUGAACUAUCAAGCCUUGUAUCGUGUAGCCAAUAGUCGGUAUGCUACUCUCCACCACUUGAAUGUCUGAUUGCAGAUACAAUUUUUAUCAUCAAAAGAUAGGCUAUGUAAUGCAGCAGAACUUCAAGAUUCUAAUUAAAUGUUAGACCUAUCAACUUGAAUAUCACUUGGUGUCAUGGCCAAAAACAAGUACAGAUGAUAAAAGAUUGAUGAGUAACAUGAAAAAUCAAAAGAUUCAUUUAUCAAAUAACAUUGGCAGAUAAACCAUAAAACACCAAAAUUAGAGUAAAUAAGAAGUGAUAAAGCAGGUUUAAGGUUCAGCUUUACAGGUGAUUAAAAAUAUUCAAUAGCUGCUAUGAGUAGUGCAAGGAACAAAGGAAUGAAGAUCACAACACUUGAAGGCCUAUGCAUGAACAUCAUGUAUGCUUUUGUGUCUAGAAAUUUGUCAGUCAUUGAUGCCUUCAACCAUCUAUUUACCAAAUCACACUAUCAGCAAAUUCUAAGGAAAAUAAAGGAAAUAUAUAUAACUAACCAUUCACGUCCAAGUUCCAUUGCACGCCCGGUGACCCAAAGGAAUAUUAGGCCAUCAGUUUGCAAUGCAGGUACAUUAAGAUUUCUCAUUUCAUCAUCAGCCAUUGUACCAUAUGGCAAUUCCAUAUGAAUAUCCCAAGGAGGGUCUGCCAUGAUAACCCCAAAUUGUCCCAAAAUGUCCAUUCUGAAGUUACGGAUAUCACAGUUUAUCCACUGGGGUUGACCAAGCUCAACUUCUGAACAAUAUUCAGCCCUUCGGGGUUUUAUUGGCUUUGGAGGUGGAAGAUUAGUAGAUCCCAAUAUCAUUGGAGCAUCUGGUGUUUGGUCGAGUUCGUAAUGAACAUAUUUGCAAGUCUGCCAUGAAUAUGUUAAACGAUGUAAACCAGGAAAGGAGAAUGGGAAUUAGUUAAAAAUCAAUAGAAAGUCAAGUUAACCUUUGUAUGACGGCAUGUAUCGAGAAAAGAGCAGUCACCUAAAUUUGUAUCAGUAUGUGGAGCAAUAAUACGGCGGAAAUGAACCUGCUUGCAAAUAAAGGAGAGAUCAAAAACCUUCAACCAAAAAGCAACUAAGCUAAAAAAUAAGGUCGUAAAAUAGUGAGCCUUGAUCUUCUGGAGUACGGCUUCAUGUCAGGAAAGUUGUCAUUGUUGCAAUAACAAGUGAAAGCAUAGGGAGUGCCAAAUUGCUAAAGUCUAAUAACAUAUAACACACAAAGUUACGAAACAAAUUAUUCCAAGCAUUCAGCAAUACCAACUUAGACAUCCAAUAAGGAGAUGAAAACCAAGGAAAACUCGAUUUACAACCAGUGAUAAAAAGACAUAAUGACCCUAGAGAUUCUAGGUGGCUUGCCUGGGAUGCCCACUUGUCAAGUUUUAGUGUAUAUAUCACAAGCAAAAAAACCUACUUCAAUUUUUCAUUCAUAGAAUUGGCCAUAUCAACAAAAGAUUCAAUGUCCUGAAAAUUAUGAAGACUAAAUAAAACUUGGAAGAGGCAAGAAAGGACAUCAGGUCAUAAACCACCAAGAAAUAUAGCAAGAAACUGCCUUUGAUGGAGCUAAUUGCAGGUAGGAUCCACAUAGUCUAUUACAAGUACUUGUGGUCAUCAUUAGGCUCUUAACUUUUUCAUACUUUAAAUAAUUUUAACCUCUUUACUGCUGGUUGUCUUUGAUUCAGUUUCAUAAUCUAAAUCUACUCACUGAAACAGUCUAUGUUUUCUGACACUUGAUAAGUUUCUUCCUGUGCAACUUGAGAUAUCCUCAAUAUGCCAACAAAUAUUUCACCUGCAUUCACACCAAAUACAUUGGCUUGCAAAUGCACGGUUGUUCUUGUAAUUAUUUUUUCUUCUCUUGCAGAAUUGACUAGAAAAAUCAUCUAUUUAAGACUUCAAUGUCAUCAUUAAGACCAACAAAAACAUAUGGCUUUAGUUCUCUAAGAAAGUCUUACUUUGUACCAGGGUUUGCAAUUUCGAUGUGCACCACCCAGUACGAGUGGUACAUACCGAUCCAAGACAAUACCGAUACACAGACCGCCCUCUACCAAGUGGUAUCAGUGUUUUGACCGAUACCACCUUGGAUUUCGACCGUUAUCAAGGCAUACUGGUUGGUACGCCCUGACGUGAUAGAUAAAGGUAUUUUUAAGAUUUUAGGAUAUACCGAUAGUACAUACUAGUACGUACCAGACCAAGCAAAGCUCGGUAUGCCAAUACGAACCAGUAUUCAAAACCUUGCUUUGUACACACAUUGAACAGUUGAUGUAGAUCCUUCAAAUAUUUCAUUUCGAGUGUAGAUAAAGAUGCACUCAACUAAAGCAGACAAGAAAUAGACUAUGCUCCUAGUCUCACACAAGCACAUAGGAUUCAAAGGAGAACCUAAGGUAUGUGCCUCUUGCACCUAAACACACCCACAACACAUGAGGAUCUAUAUUUCUUAACUUUAUAUAUUUCUUCUUCGAGCAACCGGAUGAUCUUAUCAGAGUUUUAAGUUUAUUUCUGAACAUGUGACCCAUCUGAACCAUUAAAGAAUCCAAAGUGCUACGCAGAAAGAUGGAAUUAGGUAAUGGCUUUCUUUGCUGAGGAAUGUUCCCACUGUUGGCAUGGUAGCACCACAUGCGAUGCCAGACGAGCUGAUUUCUGAACAGAUAAAACAGGAUUCACAGAAUUUGCAUCCUGGAAACUGAGAGGAUGUACAGAGAUCCAUAUAAUCUUAAGAUGGUUUACACUGAAUAUAGUACCUGAAAAAUUAUAAAGAAGCGAGAGAAUGACACACCGAGGAACGUUCUUGCUUACACACACUAAGUUCAAAGGUAAACAGGUCUUCAAAAAAUUAGCAACAUAAUAGAUUGAAGAGAUUUAUAAAUGUCAAUAGAAUCCAACUGUCUAUAUCUCUUACUGUUUGCUAUGUUGAGGUGAUUAAAGGAUGCACACAGAACAGUGACACUGACUUAAAGUGUGGUUUCAGAUAUCAUGAGAUUGGUAGAAGGCCUAAUGAAUGUAUUAAAAUUGGAGUUCAUAAAAUUCAUGAUUGAUUCAACUUAGUUUAGUCAAUAAUGCAGCUGUGCCAUAUAUAUGUUGAUGCUUGAGUAAUGUUCAUAUUAAUGAUACCAACUAGAAGGUAACAACCAAAUUUGUGAACUCGUCUCUGUUCACUUGUCUGCACAUGACAAAAUAAGAUAACCAAGAACAGUAAAGCAAAUAAAACAAUGAUAAGACACUUAUAUUAACCUGAUGCAAGUCGUCAAAAUGUAAUUUACAACUAGAACUCCUGACCUUCCAGUAACAUGGCAAAUGGCAAUGAUUAGCAUGCUACUCUUACAAAAUCUCAACUAUAACACUAACCUUAUCACAAGCAACAAAAGAACCAGUUUGGCGACGGCAGUCUUCCUUAGUUAAAUUAGAGCAGUAUUCCUUGAGUUGAGAGCCCCCUUUUGUCUUGAACUGAGAAAAGGAUUGCCUGGCUUAGAGUCGGUAAUGCAAGCAACACUAACCAAUAAAUCAAUGGAAGAUAUCCUUCAUAUUUAUUGAACAGAUGAUAUAUGCCAAGGUCUGCAGAUUUCAAUAUGCAUGUCAAUGCAUGAAGAACUACAUGUCAAAGCACGCUUCUCAGACUAUCAAACAAAGCAAGCCAGGUUACUUUCAAUAUUAAUAUAGAAUAUCAGCAUUACACAUUAAAAUAGAAUGAGAGGUUUAUGAUUGUGAACACAAACUAGAUAUUAGGCCUCUUCCGAAAUGUUAUUUACAAUCCAUUAAAUAUUGCAAGUUGCCAACUCAAGUUGAAAUGGCAACUUCACAGAGAAUUGAUCAAGUUUUCCAAUCAAAUUAACUAGCAUGUUCAGAUUGACCAAAUGGAAGUCCAAUUGUGCCAUGUCAUAACAUGCACCUGAGAUCAAUCAUGUCCCUUCCUUUACAGAAUACUCACUUGAAUGUUUUUCCUCGCAACCCUAAUUAGUAUGAACUAUCUGGAGGCUUAUCAAAAGCCUCAGGCAGAACCUAAACAUCGAAAGGCCACCUCAUACGCCAACCAAGUGUGGCAUUCAAUGAUGUUUUUUUCCAUCACUCAGAUAAACUAGACCAACAAAAAAGACCAAAAUGGACACAGGCUACACUAAAGUCUGUGUUUCUUGUGUCCAAAAUUUGCAUUUGAGAACAACACUAAAACUUGAAACAAAAGUUGGAUCUUCCAGAAUCCUUCAUGAGCAUGACUCUAGUCCAUCUAAAAGCCAAGCUGGAAGCAUGGCUUGUCGUAUAAAGUAUAAACAUAAAAUGUUAAAAGGAUAGAACAAUUGCCAAUUAAGACAAAUGACCACUUUCCUAUCUAAGACAGCAUUCUAGCAGCCACAGUUAAGCAAGCAUUUAUCAUAGAAGUUACAGUUUUGACACAUCCCGAAGGUAAAAUUGCUCUCCAAAUCCGAACCAUUAAGCAGCUGUAAUGACCCCAAGAUUGAUUUAGAAUCAUAUAUCAUCUUUCUUUUACUAUAUGAACUGAUGCUUUAUGUAGAAUCGAUAGGAUGCAAAGAGCCGCAAUAAACUAAAGUGAGGUAUAUCCAAACCUUGGCAGCAACAGCAGUCUCCCUUGCCGUAGGGCGGUGAAUGAGAUCCAAAAUCUCCUCUCCUGUCUUCGACAUCUGCAACUCCCUGAAUGUCUUCUUAUUCAACAAUGCCUCGAGAUCCUUUAGAUCAUCUUCCUCGGAGCUUUGCUUCGGCGUCGCCAGAUUAGGGCCACCCGGAGUGUUACCAGGUCCCAUGAGUGGCCUCUGAAGGGGAGUAAAUCCCAUCAUCCGUGGAAUCCCCAUCAUGCCGACCACUCUAGGCGCUCCCCUCGGACCAACCAAAGGCGGACCACCAGACCCAGGAAAGAUAUGGGGCAUUCCAGCGAGAUGGGUGUCGGAAGGCCCCAUCCACAUGUCCGGCGACGGACUUGGCAUCGUCAUGGAAGUAUUAUCGACUCCGGCCAUUGUUGGGACCUGGGACUGACUAUUCCCCUUGCUCGAGCUGGGUUCCGUCGACGGUGGACGUGGUGGCGGCUGCUGACCCUGCGAAGAGCUCUCUGGAAGCUCCUUGAGGAGUUUGUUCCGAUCGAUGCCCCAAAUCAUCAGCGUGGUCUUCCCGUUCACGGUGAACUCCUCCAGCUGCACUCCACCGCUCUCCUCGGCGAUUCGCCGGAGCGCCAUCUCGACUGCAGAGAUCGGCCCGACAUCCCCACCGAGAUCAGCCAGCGCAGCCUUCUCGGCAGGGGUGGCCGAGGACUGGUCGUUCUCCAGCCGCCGAAGCAAAGCGGCGGAGUCGAUCUCGGUGAAGGGUACGAGCUCCAGGAGGCAGACGGCGACCAUGGUGCGGACGACAGAGAGGCGGUCGCCGCCAGCGGAGCCGCCGCCCUCGGCGCCGGGGGAGGGCGGCGAGGGCUUGGGACGGGUGCGUGGUAAGGUGCGGGCAUCAGGGAGGUGGCGGCGGCGGGGGGUGAGGGGAUGGUGAUCGGAGGGGGGUUUAGGGGUGGGGGAGAAGGGGCGGCGGUUGAAGGAGGAGAUAACGCGGAGGGAGACGUCGAGGGAGCAGGCCAAGUCGGGAACGAGGGAGUGGAGGGAGAAGAGGAGCUCCUGCUGCGACUGGCGGCGGGCCGCGAUGGCGUCCUCCAUCUGUUGGCGCAUCUCCUUAACGGCGGCAACGUCAUCGCCUCCGUCGCCGCCGCCGCCGCCGCCGUUUCGCUGUGGUUCCAUGUCUCUCGCUUUCGAGAUCGAACCGAAACAGCACCGAGGCGCCGACGUACUUACGCUCUCUGCUGCUCCGAUACGGAUUCCGACUCGAAUUCCUUGUGCACGUGCGAUGCAUGCGCUCUCAGCAGGUAUUUAAAUUAUUCCUAGAAAAAAUAAUUAUUAUUUCAAUUAAGAAAAAGUCACGAAUUUUGUUUUGUGUAUUAAAAAUGUUUUUUUUAUUUACAAAUUCUAAAGCUGAGUCUAUAAAAGGAGAAAAAUGGCAUCUUACACUAUAUAUAUAUAUAUAUAUAUAUAUAUAUAUAUAUAUAUAUAUAUUUUUUUUUUUUUUUGUGACAUUUGUAUUCAAAUUUUAAUUCAAUAGAUGAUAGUAUAAUUUGCCUCAUUAUUUGCAAGUAUAAAAAAUAAAUAUUUUUGGAGAGGAAAAGGUCUUUGUGAAUAGAAUUGUUCGUCACAUAUUCAAGACAUGGGCUGCAGCUAUUGUUCCUUGGAAACUCCGUUAAGCUUUCAUGGCUUCGUUUGCUAACGUGUUGACAGCAUUAGCGACUUCUUUGAUCCGUUCUGAUAUCUUGAUCAGCAGGAGCGACGCUACUGUGAUGAUGGACAUAUUUUAGCGCUUCGCUUCACUUAAGCAAGUGCCUAGCGUCUUCGGUGUUUUUGGACCUUGGCGCCUAGUACUUUUUAAAUCAUUACUUUGUUUUUAGUCAAAGAUCAGUUAAGAAUAAAUAGAGAAAACAAUUAGGUAAAUGUAUUUUUGAGGUAAUAUAGUUUUUGGCUAAAACAAGGUUUACAAUUUCGGUCCGUACUAGUGCACCGACCAUACGUUGGUUCAGUACGUACUGAGGCGUACCGACGAUAUGCCCAAAAUCGUCAAAAAUAGUUUUAAAAAUAUCGAAAAAAUAGAAAAAAAAAGUUAUAUUAGGGUUUUUAAGUUAGAAAUAAAUAUAAAUUUAGUAUAAUUUUAGCAAAAAUAAUGUAAAUUAGGAACGAAUAGCAAAAUAAUCUUUUUCGAGCUUUGAGGAGUAGCUUUGUGGUACAUUGCGGAUCGUCCUUUCGUUAAUAUUGAACUAUCGGUAAAGAAAUGAUUUGAAUUAUUAGGGCUUGAUCGAUAUUGACACUAUAGAAUAUUAAUCUAUUAGAUUAUAUACAAUGGUAUAAAAUAUAUUAUAAAUAUAAUUAGAUUUUGAUUAUAAUAUUUGAUCAAUAAAAAAAUAAUUUAAUUAUGAUAUAAUUAUUUAAAAUAUUAAAAUUAAAUAUGUUAAUUACUUAUUUAUAAAUAAAAAUAACCUCAUGCGAAUUCAAGACUACACCAUACAAAUUAGAAGUUAUUGAUAGAUUAUAUAUCACUCACGUUACAUUUAUAGAUAAGAUAAAAGUUUUUUAGAUUACAUCAAAAAAUAUUUAUAGAUAAGAUAAAAGUUUUUUAGAUUACAUCAAAAAAUAUGCAUGAUAAAUUUAAUCUAUUAUUAUUUGAUUUUAAUUUUUAAUAUUAUUUUUUAUAUAAUAAUAAUAAUAUAAUAAUGAUUUUUGUGCUUACAUAUUUUUCAUGAUUUAUCGCUUAAAAUGUAUCACCUCCUGUAUUAUGUUGUUCCUUUCUCCAUGUGGCAGAUCAACACUCCGAGACUUUUUCGUUGACCUAAAAGUGCUUGACACUUCUCUCAACCACCUUUGAUGAGUCGAAGCUCAAUCUCAUGUAAGCAUUACCGAGGUGCUUCUUCGUAUUGAUAAGACGUUGCUUCUUUUUUUUUUUUCAACCUCUUCAUGUGAGAAAAAUACAUAACCUUCGAGGAUCAUCAAUUACCAUUCCGUAUGAAUUUCUUGUUGGUGAACAAAUGUACCGUGACUGAUGAGUCAGCACAAUCAUUAGAGCAUGUCUCAGAGGAUCAAUCGAAAAGAAACAAGUGAUGUAUGAUAAGACCAUGUAAUUAAAGUGACUUUGUCAUGAAGUUGUGAGAGUUUAUACAAGGGAAGAGAGCAGUAGUAAAGUAUGGCAUUCAAAAAUGUAAAGGAUCGACAUCAUGCAAAAGGUAUAACUAUCUUUUCCAUUAGUAAUAUGUUAUUAGAAAUCAGCUGUGUACGCCAAAAAUUGAGGGGCUAAUUAAGUUUAACUUGCACUAUAUUUGAUGACGAAGAAAAGGAAUACAAUAGGGCUCAAUCGAGUCGAUCAAUCCGAUUUAGCUCAACCUAAAUUUUAGAGUUAGAGACAACUACAUCGUACCAAUGAUGAGUGUAUUACUAUUAAUUUUAACAUAAUCAUUUUGAUCAAGAUUUUACAAAAUAAAAUUCGUAAGCUUUGAGUUGCAAUAAAAGCUUUUGAAUUAAACCAAGAAGUUUUCACAUCGCGGAGUCUUCCGCCACAAAAACAAGUUCGAGCACCAACAAUUAUGGUGUGAAGAUUGUGAUUGGCGAGAACAGAAAAGAACUAGAGGAACUGAAAAAAAAAAACAAAGCUACUGAAAAUGAAAGAUAUUUUAACUCAUGAUGACGAAAAAGAUCGGAAGCAUAAGAAGCAGGACGGCAAUCACUAUCUGCAUCUCCUUUUACUCCAUUGCUGCCGAAGAAAUAAUCAGAAUCUGCUACCUCAGAGUUUAAUAGUUGAUAUCUAAACAAUAGCAGGCACCAUGAACAACACACUUCUUGUGACGCCUACUUGCAUACCAAUGGCUGCACCACAAAGUUGUUGAUCCAUCCAUCAAGAACAGAACCUCUUCAAACACGACCCAAAAUAACUCAUAGCAACCAUAAGCAAUUUCGUCAUUGAACCUUGAUAGUUCCUGCAGCUCCUGGAUUUGGAAAUGUUAGGCUCAUCGAACCGGUUCAGAACAUGCUUGAGAAGACACAAGACUAUUAAGCGUUUAAAGACAUUUUAGAGCAAAUAGAAGAACAUGGAAAAGGAAAAAAAACUACGGCACAUCGAAGUCAACCAGUUGGCUCAAAAACAGCAGAACCCAGGGGAACUCCAGGCAAUUGCCAAGCGAAUCUGAAGAAACCAGGAAAGCUAUUAUUGAUAUAGCCAGGUCGAGAAACAUUCAAGUUCUAACUUCCUAGCUUGAAGGCAUCAACAAAGAGACCCAAGCAUACACCAGCUUUCCAGUAGUUCACCAUCACAAUUAAGUUCUGCAACCUCCCUACGGGCGUAGUGAAUGGUUUUCUAUACAUGAGCAUGCCAAUUCCCUCGAUCACAGCCACCACCACGCCAGCCACCAGGACAUCCCAGUCACCGGUCUGCCCUAGGAUUGUUGCUAAAGCAUUGGCUGUGUAGAAACCCAAGAGGAGGAGGAAUAUUUUCAUCGGAAAGUUCUUCCGAGCAGCAUUUAACUUUUCAAGAAGCUGUGCAGCAGCGGCUCGUACAAUAGUGCCCAAUCGAGUCCUGCCAAGCCCUGCAUUAUCCCCUAGGUUCUCUUGACCAUUGCUACUAGGGGAUCCACCUGUAUCCAAGGCAAGGGCGGUCCUCCACCUGUAGCUUCUCAUCUGAUAACUAGUUUUCAAAAGGGGGAAAAAAAAAGAGUCAACUUAUGAAUUAAUAUCUGAUAACUAAAAUCCAGAACAGGAAAAAAUAUAUAUAUAUGCAAUCACUAAAAUACGGAAUUAGGCUGAUUUUUAAACCAUCAUAUCUAGAUAAAUAACCUAAAAUCCAAGAAUUACUGGUAGUCUAUAAAGUGUUCGAUACAAAAAAUGUCUUUGGCUGUCAUGUCAAACGGUUGCCUCUUCCUAUAACAGAAUCUACAUAAGAAGCAUCUUUGAUUGUUCUUAAGAAGAACUAGGCAUCUCUAAUUAAUCUCAGUAAGAAGCAUGUUUACUUCCAAAUGUUGGAUCAGGCAUAUGGAAAUGUCAUAUUAUUAGUCACCCCGUUGCAAUUUCAUAUCACAAUACUUUGAUUGAAUCUUAUGAAACGAAAGGACCACUACAUUGUCAAACCAGUGAAACUUAACACAUUCCAGAUUGAAAAAGAAGAUUAGCCUAGAAGAGAUUGAUGAGGUGCCGACAAGAAUUUAAAGCACUAGCGCUAAAUAAUAAUCUAAAGUUCCACAAAACAACCUACAUAAUCUCACUGUCAGACAUCAACAGAAAAAUUACCACCAUCACCGAAAAUUUUUUGUGAUAAUAAAUGGCAAAAGUAAUAGAUUUUUAGUCAGGUUAGGUAUCAGGAAUUCAUCACAAAACACAGUCUUAUUGCUUCUGCAGCUGGUGAAUGCCAAGAAAAUUAAAAUGAGAAGCUUAUUCAGGAAUGUCAGAUAGUCUCAAUUUUCACUGAUCCAAGUACAGCAUUCAGUCAUGGACUGUGUUGCAAGGUUGCAUCUUCUGCAGUUUUACUUCCUCUUUCAAACGAUCGACAUGAGUGAAGCACUUUCGUUUAGAAAGUGUUUCUCUAACUCAAGUAAAUCACUUACCAUGCAGAACAAUCAUACAAGCUAAAAGUUUCAUCUCCAAGUAACCAUACUGAUGAUAAAAGCUCUUUCAAUCAAACUAAUGGGGAUGAGCAGUGUUCAGCUUGGUUCAGUAAGCAAUGAUUUCUAAAACCAAAUCCUAGCUUCAUUUGAGCUUACAAAACAACUUUGAGGACACUGAGUACAAUGUAUAGAUCCAUUUUAAGCUCAACCUCGACAUGGUAGUCAUCCCGAUCACCAAUUAGCUUCUGAACCAUUGAAUUUCCAAGGACCAUUUUUGGUUUUAUGAUUGAUGGCUUUGAACUUCCAAAUUAUUCCUAAAAUCUUACAAAGAAAGUAAUUUUUCUUGAUGCUUUUCCGUAUUGGGAGAGCAAAAGAGAACCCUAACCACCAUGCGGCUAGCUUUUCGACUAUAAAUAGUAGAGAGAGAGAGAGCGAGAAGAUGAAUCGAGAACAAGAAUAGAACAUUAAAGCUCAGAAUUCUCCAUUGGAAUCCCUAAUUUAAACGCCUACCCAAAUUUCACUCACCCCAUUCAAUUCUCUUUUUCUCUUCUCUUGGUAUGCAUCAUGCGGAGGAGAUAAAGAAAGGCGGCAGACCUCUUCGUUUCUUGGAUGAUGCCGAGCUUCGCCGGGGGCCGGCAAGUACAUGGCGCCAUAUUCCCCCACCGCCAAGUCGCACCGCCGGUCGGGGGGAGAAGGGAAUGCCUCUCAAGGCACUCCGAGUCCACCGACGGCAGGAACCGCUGCGCCAAGAUCGGCGUCAUGCCAACCCCGUCUCGAAAUCUAAAGAUUGUCCAACAAACGCUGCUGCUUCGCGGGCCAAGUGAAAUCUCUGUGCGAGGAUCCAAGAUGCAGCUCGGCCUCAGAUCAUCGAUCGAUCUGACGAACCAAGCCUAUUGUCGUCCCCCUGUCGUCGUCGAACGAAGCGGCCAAUGUUCAUAUGGGCCUUUAACGGACCAAAGGAUUCUGUUAAUGGGCCGAACUGAAACAUUCGUUUCCUAACCGAAACAUUCGUUUCCGUUCGCCAAAAGCAUUUUGCCACCAAAGCCUAUUCGUUUCCUAAGACCGUUCAAUGGACGCCUAAGAUGCAAGGCUAUUCUUCCGAGCACGCUUGCCAUCAUUGUGCCGGUUGUUCACCGCAGGAACUCGGCUCGUCCUUGUAAUCAAAGCAGGCCAACCAAUGCAGUGCCCGAUACAUGUCUCAGAAGGAUAUCUUCUCAUGCCAUCCGGUAGUGGUCCAUCAAUCCUUUACUUGAUGGCUUUCUUGCAGAACUCUGCACAACAAUGGAUAUCUCCACGAACUGUGUACUGGUCGUGGUAAAUGAGACUCCCUCCCACAAGCCACUCAUGUUUUGCUGUGAGGAGUCUUGGCAGAAACAGGAGAGAAACUACAUGUUUCUCUCCUUUCUGGAUAAUGCUAGACCUUCGAUACGAGACAGCAGUCAACUUCCUGUUCUCCAGCAAACGAAGAUGGUGCACCCCAUGCAUUGGAUUCACAUGCCGAUUCACUGUUUCUGAAGGGGCCCCUCGAUGGAAGAAGGAAGAGGAGCAACAGGGAGAUCAUUCUAUCAUGACGUUGUCUUGUUCUGGUGUCUUGGAACUUGGUGACUGAUGUUGAUCGAAGUCCCCUCUACAUCUUCCAUCUUUCAUAUAAGACAAUCGGAAACAAGGCAAGCAGAUCAAUCAUCAAAAAUGAUAACGCCAUUGUUUUGAUUAGGUAAAAUCCGUCAGCACCUCCUGUUCCACCACAAGCUUAGAUCGUAGAAUUCAUAUCAUUAUCAUUAUAGGAGAUGAUUCAGUUCAACCCUUUUAGUCUUUUUAGAAUUAGCUCUUUAAUUUUUGGACCCCUUUCUCUCUCUCUCUCCUUGAGGCUUGUUGAAUCUACAGCACCAAACAGAGAAGAAGCAGCAGCAGCAAAGAUAGUGAGAGCAUGAAAUAAGAGAUCCGACAAGUUCACGUGUUGAUUCUUUGUCACUCGUACGUGAGAAUUAAAACAGUGAUAACAUGGCGUCGGCACGAGUACGUUCGUCUGCUAGCUAGCGAACGCUGAAGCUCUGCGACAGUCCAAUCGGGCCCUCGGCAAACCAUUCAAUGCAGCAGCUGUAGAAUACCUUUCAUUACCCAACCUAUCCUUCCCUCAGCUGAAUCAUUGGAUACGGCUUGCGUCGCAUGCUCACAGCUUGGAUUCCCUUCCAUUCCAUGUCGUCAUGCUGAUCAUCAUGAUCCAUCCAUUAUUACCUCUUAAAGGAGGGGGGAAAACUAUGCGAUACGUAGUAGAAUGCAAGGCGUACUAGAAUGGGGUAAGAGAGAGAGAGAGAGAGAGAGAGAGAUGCGACGACAGCAAAUCAAAAGGUCAUGAAUGCGUCAAUAAUGCUGAUGAAAACGAAGGACUUUGGUACGAGCAUCAAACGGAGACGGCAAUGGAUGUUCCUUGACUGGAAACUCGAAGGGUAGACGUUCCAUUUACUGGCGUAAUUGGCGGACCUCGAGUGGCAUGCAGACAAGCAACAGCGUCACCAGAUCAUCAAAAGCAUGUGAGGUUACAUGGAGUGGGUGGCACGCCUUACUUAACGCCUACCUAUCCCUGUUGGCUUAUGGUGAUCACAGCAUGGGAGGUCCCUGUGGGAAAGACAAUUCGAUGGGGAAGAUGAACUUAGGCAGCAUGUGAAGAACAGACAUCGUAGAGAAACUUGGAUGUCGCUCACCUUCGGUAACAGAGCCUUUAUUGUAUGAAAUAAGUAGCCACGUGUUGGUGUCAGCAUCAAGACGAAGAAGGAAUCAUUCCCCAUACCUCAUCCCUAGGGGAAUGUUUGCAGAGGACCCACAUGUGAGUGGCUUCUUGGUAAUCAUGCAUGGAGAUGGUGUGUGUGGGGGGAAGGAAUCAUUAGUGUGGGGAAGCCAAGCUUGCAUCAGUCUAUGUUACAUGAGGCGAGGGGAAGGGAGGGGCAGAGGGGAUGUGUCUUCCAAUAUCAUAAUGGAAGCAGAACAGUCGCCUAACACACACACACACACACACACUCGAGUAUAUGUAAUCCAUGCGAAGGGGAAGAAGUACUUCGAGGGGGUGGGGGAAAGGGGAGUGCGGCCAUACCGACUUAUUCCUUGGCUCUCCGCUGCUUCUCUGAGUGCGUUCACAGCUGGAGGAAUCUCGAUGGGGAUGAUGAGACAUGACAUCUCAGACCGGACGCAGAAGGGAAAGGAAAAAUGACAGAUAAAAAGCCAGUGAAUACCAUGAAUGCUAACGCACGUUGUAUCCUCAACCCCUUGUUCCGAGUGGUAGUAACAUAAACAAAGAAGUGGGUGGGUAGUUUUCGCUUUUGCCCUAAGCUAGUUCUGGUCCAUGCAAAGUCCACACUGUUGCUACAGUAUGAGCUGAAUACCAAAUCCAUGAAAGCACAAAGGAUCCCCAUUCUUCUCCCAUGCUUUUCAGUCUGUGGUGCAAUGAUCCCUACCAGCAAGAAAAGACACCCUCCCUCUUGGAGCCAACCCAAAAAGAAGCUUCACAUGUCCAUGGUGACGAGAACAGGGAGUAGUGAUGGAAAGAAAUGGAGGAGAAGGAACCUCAUGUAUCUUCUUGUCCUCUGUUAGUCCUCAGGAAAUCCCGAAUAAAGUGGUUCAAUACCAUCAUCUGAAACCAGAGCAGAAAGUAAAUACACGCUCGAAUUUUAGCUUUUGCUUCUUGGAAUCAAGGAAUGCUUCUACCAUGAGCCUCCUCCGCCCAUCAUCCCGUUCCAGAAGCCAGGAGGAUGACCACCUUGGCUCCGGUUGUUCUCGAACUCAGCAGUGCUUGUAUGGACUCCUGGCUUCAGGUCCUCAAAAGGGAACAACAGCCUUCCACCGGCACCCUCCUGCAGCCCCUGCAAUGAUUCAUACCCACCGGUACCCCCUUCUCCUCCCCCUCCGUCAAUGCCUUCCAUCGGGAAGCUAAGGGCAGGAGCCCUGAAGUCCUGCAACCCGAACCCGGUUGGGUAUUCCGGCAGCGUCAUCGGCACGAAUGGCCCAAUCCCUCUUGCGGUCAUACCACUGCUCAGUAGCUCCAUGGCAGAGAGAGCACCAACAGCAUUGCAUGGGUUGCUGCUGUUGUCGGUGUUGCUACUGUUGUUGUUGUUGUUGACUGUAGUGCUCUCCAAGCCGGGGAAGUCAUUGAACUCAGGGAGUGUAGGGUGAGGGAAAGCCAGGUUCAGGUCUUGUCCCUCAUGGAACUUGUGAGAAGCAGAGAGCGAGAUGGGAGGGGGGACGAAGUCGGUUGGGAGCUUUUUAGGGUUUGACACUACUGCAGAUGUAGCGGUGGCGGUGGAAGAGGUGAUCAUGGAGGCGGCGGCGGCGGUGGUGGUGGAGGAGGAGGAGACGGAGGACCGCUUGUUCUUUCUCGAGCCACCGCCUACAGGAACGUUUCUGAGAGACCCACCCUCGGUCCAAUAUCUCCUGCAGGUCUUGCAGAAGUACCUGGGCUGAGUAAGGCUGUAGUUGUUGUAGUAGCAGAACUUGGUGUUGGUGGAGUUGCACCGGGGACAGCUGAGCGCCUGCCCCUUGUGCGGCCUGGCCCUCCUCUCCGUCACCUGCGGCCUGGCCGUGGUGCAACUAUUACUCCCGCUGGUGGUGGCGGUGGAAGACACCAUCUCCGCGGGCUUCACCAGCCCUAUUUCCUGACAACACCCACACCCCCCAUAAGGAACACUAGACGUCACCAAAGAACUUUAGCAAACACAGACUACAGAUAGAUAGGUUUCUUGAGAUCAGAAACGAUGUGAGGUUAAGAAAAAGAGAUGGAAAAAGAUCGAAACAAAGACAAGAUGAAAGGGAUAUCAGAUGCACUUUAUUCAUCAACAAUGUCAAAGCAAAGUGGCCUUUUUCAUGUCACUGCUUUUAUUGCACGAACUGCGGAGGGGGGAGGGAGAAGCAAAAGGUAUUCCAGAGAGGAGGAGGCACGAGAGAAUUAAAAGCAGAUUAGGAGAGGCGAGGGUUGCAAGCUUCCAACACAAAGAUCCACAUCAAUUUCAACACAGAGCAUCAGGUCCUCCGACAUCCACACCCAGCGACAUAAGACCGAAGAGAUCCCAAAAGCCAACCACGGAGUCACACCCAGAUCUCGAGUCGUUAGAUGUACGUACCUGAUGCCACUGAGCAGUAUCCAUGGCGGCGCUCUCACAAGGCGUCAGGAUCGCCAGGAAGAAGAAGAAGAAGAAGCAGCAGCAGGUGGCCGGAGAGAGAGAAAGAGAGGGAGAGCUUAGAGAAGGGAGCUAUGACGGUGGUGCCGGCACGGAUGGACUUGAGGGAGAGCAGCCAGCGAUGGGAUUCCAGUCGUCCAAAAGUCGUAUUAUUCUCGGGCUGGUAUUUUAAUGCCACCAUUUCCAUUUGCGUGGGCGUCUUGUCGAUUGCUGCCUGUUCGCUUGUCCCGUCUGAGUGGAUUGCAGUGUGUGAUUCCACCACACUGCGGCAUACGGUGCAUCGGCGCCGAGGGAAGUCGGUGGCGUGAUCAGCACGUGUUUCCAUGGGAGACUAUCACCGUCGAUCCUCCGACGUCCGAUCAUUAGUUAUCGACCUGCCAAAUGUCAUUAGGUGAAUGUAAUCGAUUGAUUAAGGAGUUAACGAGGGGCCUUUAUGGGUACAACAAAGUGGGGCCCUCGCAGAUAAGUAGAUGGCGGUGAUUAACCAAUUAGAAAACACAUAAAUCAUUAGGGCCUGUCACCAGCCAUCAUUCGCCAUCAAUUGGUUGUUGGACACGCCAUCAUCGAUGACAUUCUCGAUUGAUCGGACCCAACGCUGGAGGGAGGACUUCGGUGGGUCGUUGUGAAGUUAUCAUCUUGGCUUAAUGGAAUCGAUCCUUCUCGUCGACUCCUCUCGAGUCCAAGCAAGAGCGAAGAAAAUUGUGGCAAUCAAUAUUUUUAUCCCGUAAAAUUCGAAUCUAAACUAAAUACGAGGGAUUGAAUAGUAUUUAAGGAAAUCUAUUUCAAAUUAACAGACCCAUCACGCAGUUUAUCUCGAGAGAUCUCAGGCAGAUGUUGGCGUGACAAAGCUCUGAGUCCAAAUCCUGGACAAGAAUAUAUUCGAGGUCAAGUCCAAAUCAAGAUGGAGCGUCUUGACAUCAACAAGUCUUCUGUCAUUUUGCGUGUAUCAGAUGACCAUGAAUCUUGAAUCGCUCGGCCAAUUCGUCGGUGAUGUCACAUCCUAAGCAUCUCAGUUUGUGUGGCACUGUCACACAUUCCGGUUUCACAUACGUGUAUGGCUAAUCAACAUAGAGCGCGAGGAAGGGAGGCCUCAGGGAAAAGGAAGCUACAGUUCAUCAACUUGGAUCACAUACAUACGUCAAAGAGCAAAAGUUUAUUACUAGGAUUACGAUCAUGUCAAGAUUUGGAUUAGAACUCAGUUCUGAGGAUGCAUGUUGAGAUGUUAGGUGGUGGCCAUUCAUGGCAGAAGCUUGCUUAAAUGGAUGUUGGUCAGCACUGCUAUAAUCGUUGGCAAUGAUGGUAGGUAAGAUCACUAACGUUGCUGCUCGAAUCCCAGUACAAGGCAUGCUAUAGUUUUAGCCGAAGCAUGCAUGUCUUUUGUUCCAUGGCGAUGACUCGAGACAUGUUUGCAGACUUCUGGGCAAAGCUGGCCUGCACAUCAAAGGAUGAACAGUUCCAAGUCUCAUCAUCCGUGUCCGGUUCGCCUGGAUUCUUCGCUAGUGGAGCACUAGCGGAGGACGUGUAUCAGAUCGAAGUGUUUCUUCAUCCGUGUCCCCAUUUGUUACGAUCCGAUUCGAGUCUUAAUGUGCUACAGUCAUCAUCGUGCUCGUCUUCUUUCCCAGCGGCCAUCAUUCUCCGCGGAGUUCUCGACUGUGGAUAUGGAAGUUGUGGAGUGCAGACUUUCCAUGGAGUGGUUCAGCUUCCCACACGUAGGCGUGCACUUCACCUCCCAAUGGAAUGGCUGCAGACCAAAUCCAUCGGUCAAUGCUGUCUUGCGACUUAAAUUAUUGCUGUGCUGUGGAUUUUGUCUUCCAUUGGUUUGUUGUGCCACCGUUUGAGACUCAGUGGAUGGGUGGAUAUGUAGCAGCGUAUCUGAGCCGGCGAAGCUUUCCACCGAAGAGAUGGCCAUCAACCACAGGUCACAUCGCUGUGUUGUUUCCCCUUGUUUUGGUGCAGUAAACACGGAGCGAGUGGUCUCCUUCCAUCGUCGACAUCGGUUAGCUAAACAAAUCGUCAGACGGUCAACCAUUUAGAUGUGAAUUCCACGCGUUGCGAAAUAUUUUUCCUGCCUUCUGCAUCCUCGAUCGUGGACGAGUUAGACCCGUUACUGUGUUGGAAAAAAAAAAAGUUAUAGUGAAAUAAUUUUUUUUUUCAUUAUAUUAACCGCUAUAUCAAAAUGUAUUCCUCAUAAAAAAAAUAUAAAUUUAUUAUCAAAAUAUAGUAUAAAUAAUAAAAUAAUAAAUCAAUAACAAAAUGAGACACGGACCGUAGUCCAUCUCAAACUUUCACUAUUACCAAUAAUGAUAAUAGGUUUGCAAUAAGACUUCUCUAGAAUAACCAAAUGAUCACAAUAACAUAUGAGAUGAUAAAGCUUUCCACCAAAGAGAUGGCCAUCAACCAUAGGUCACAUCGCUGUGUUGUUUCCCCUUGUUUUGGUGCAGUAAACACGGAGCGAGUGGUCUCCUUCCAUCGUCGACAUCGGUUAGCUAAACAAAUCCUCAGACGAUCAACCAUUUAGAUGUGAAUUCCAUGCGUUGCGAAAUAUUUUUCGUGCCUUCCAUCCUCAAUCGUGGACGAGUUUGACCCGCUUGCAGAAAAAAAAAAAGUUAUAGCAGAAUAAUUUUUUUCAUUAUAUUCACCGUUAUAUCAAAAUGAGUUCCUCGUCAAAAUAUAAAUUUGUUAUCAAAAUAUUAAUUUGUUACAAAAUAUAACAUUAACAGUAGAAUAAUAAAUCAAUCAUAAAGUGAGAUACGGACCGUAGUCUAUCUCAAACUUUCACUAUCACCAAUAAUGAUAAUAGGUUUACAAUAAGUCUUCUCUAGAAUAACUAAAGGAUCACAAUAACAUCAAGAACAAAUAUCUUGAAACAUUAACAUAUCAUCAUCGUCAAAAUGGAUUUUAUAAAAAGAAAAUUUUAGAUCUCACAAAGUGGAUAUAGCGGGAAAGCAUUUUAGAGAGAACAAAUUAUAGAUCGGUACCGUUAAGAUGUAGAGCUUAUUGCAAGGAUUCUUCAUAUAAAUUUGAUCCAAAAUCAAUGAAGUUUUGUCGCUCGAUCAUCUAGCAAAAACCCUCAAAAAUCUUAACUUUUGCUCUUUUUCUCUCUCUCUCUCUCUCUUUCUUUCUCAUGCAGCCACUAUUCCCUCGCCGUAUGCACGCCUCGUUCGCUGCCCUCACUAAGCAGUCUCUUUCUUUUUUUCUUUUUUUUUAUAAUAAAUCAGAUUUAGGUUUACUGCCCAAAUCAUCUAGUCUAAGCCCACAUAUGGACUGGAUCUAACAAUUCUCCCCCUCCAGCUCCUAUGACGGGCUGUACUAAGUUCGUUUUUCGUCUACAUGCUUCAAGAUUCUCCUUAAGCAAAGACUUUGUCAACAUAUCUGAUCCAUUCUCAUUGGUAUGCAUAUUUUUUCAAGUGCAAUUCUUUUAUCUCAAGUACAUCACGAAUGUAGUGAUAUAUAACAUAAAUAUGCUUGGAUUUAGAAUGUUAUAUUAAAUUCUUAAAGUAAUGAAUGACGCUUUGAUUAUCACUAAAUAGUAUAUCCUUCCUAUUUCAAGCCCAAUUCCUAUAUAAACUUUUUCAUCCAUGAAGUUUUCUUGCAUGCUUCAAUAAUUGCUAUAUAUUCUGCUUUUGUGGUUAAGAAAGCAACAUAAUUCUGUAACUUAGACAGCCAAGAGAUUGCUCCCCCUAUAAAUAUAAUCAAGAAUCCCGAAGUGAACUUUCUGGAAUCAAUAUCACCUACCAUGUCUGCAUCUGUAUACCCUUCUAGCAUAGGUUUAUCACUGCCAAAACAUAAAUAUAAUCUGGAAGUACCUCUUAGAUAUCUUAAUAUUUAUUUCACGACUACACAAUGUUCCUUACUAGGAUUAGAGAGAAAUCGACUGACAACUCCAACUACAUGAGAUAUAUCUAGCCUAGUAUAAACCAUAGCAUACAUCAAACUGCCUACUAUAGAUGAGUAAGAUACUUUGAAUAUUUUUUCUUUUUCUUUCUCACUUGUAGGACAUUGUUUCGAACUAAGCUUAAAAUGACCUACAAGUGAAGAACAAACUACUUUGACUUUACUUAUGUUGAAUCUUUCAAGAACAUUUUUAAUGUAGAUCUCCUAAGAUAGCCAAAGCUUCCAUUUCUUCCUAUUACGAAGAAUCUUCAUACCAAGUAUUGUUUUAUCGAUCUUAAGCCUUUCAUGGUAAAAGACUUACUUAGUUUUCUUUUAAGCUGUUUAAUUUUACAAACAUCAUAGUCAACAAUCAACAUAUCAUCAACAUAUAGUAGAAGAAUAUUGAAAUCAUCAUCUGAAAACUUCUUUGUAAACAUACAAUAAUCAGAUAUGGUUCUAUUGCACCCUCGGCUCAUCAUAAAGGAAUCAAACUUCUUGUACCACUAUCUAGGUGCUUGUUUGAGUCCAUAUAAGCUUUUCCUGAGCUUGCACACUAUAUUUUCUUUUCCCUUGACUUUGAAUCAUUCUAGUUGCUCCAUUAAAAUUGCUUCUUCUAAGUCACCAUGAAGAAAUGUUGUUUUCGCAUCAAGUUGCUCAAUUUCUAAAUUUAAAUGGGCAACCAAACAAAGAACAACUUGGAUAGAGGAUAUUUUCACCACAUGAAAAAAUAUUUUUUCAAAGUAAAUACCUUUCUUCUGACUGAAUCCUUUCACAACUAGUCGUGUCGUGCCCUGUAUUUUUAUUGUGAGUUAUUAUUUUCGGUCUUUAAUUUAUAAACUCAUUUAUUCUUGAGAGCUUUCUUCUCUUUAUGCAACCUUAUCAAGUCAUAGGUGUGGUUCUCAAGUAAGGAUCUCAUUUCUUCUUGCAUAGUUUUAACCCACUUAUUCUUAUGCUCAUGUAGAAUAGUUUCUUGGUAAAUUUCUGGCUCUCCCUCGUUAGUAAGUAUAACAUACUCAUGUGGAGAAUAUAUGAUAGAUGGUUGUCGCUCUCUUAUGGAUCUUCUUAAUAGAAUCUCAACCGAUGGUGGAGAUGCUUGUUUAGUUGGUUCAACAUCAUCAACUAUAGGAGUAUCAUCACUGGUAUUCUCACAAUAAUCUUCUUGUUCAUCUCCCCCAUGAUUAUCAUGAACUACAGGUGAAGGAACUAGACUCAAACUCUAAGGAAUAUAAACAGAGGUUUUUGGCUUCUCAACUUUAUCACCAUCAUCAAACAAUUGGUCUUCAGGAAACACAACAUCUCUGCUUCUAAUAAUCUUCUUGUUCAUUGGAUCCCAUAAUCUGUACUCAAACUCUUCAUGACCAUAUCCCAAGAAGAUAUAUGCUUUUGCCUUAUUAUCAAGUUUGGACCUCUCAUUUGUGGGAAUAUGAACAAAUACUUUGCAUCUAAAGACUCUCAAGUGAUUAUAAGAUAUAUAUUUUCCUUUCCAAACUCUCUUUGGAACAUUACCUUCCAGAGGAACUGGUGGAAAAAGAUUUAUAAGGUCAAUUAUAGUUCUCAUGGCCUUCGCCCAAAAUGACUUAGGUAACUUGGCAUGAAAAAGCAUAAACCUAAUUCUUUGUUCAAUGGUUUUGUUUAUCCUUUCUGCCACACCGUUCUGUUGAGGAAUUUUAGGAACUAUUUUCUCAAGCCUGAUACCAUGGAACCUGCAAUAAUUCUCAAAAAGAUCCCUAUACUCGCCAUUAUUAUCUACUCGAACACACUUUAGCUUCCUGCCAGUUUUUCUUUUAAUACUGACAUGAAACUCUUUGAAAACAUUGAGUACCUGAUCUUUAGAUUUCAAAGUAAAAGCCCACACUUUUCUAGAAUGGUCAUCAAUAAAAGUAACAAAAUAAAGAGCACCUCAAAGAGUUCUAGUUUGCAUAGUACAAACAUCAGGAUGAAUCAAAUCAAUAAUAUAUGAUCUUCUAGAUCAUGGAUAUGAAUGAAAGAUGACUAUGUGUUUUCUAACUAAGAACCACUUUCUAGCAAGAGUUUACAGUCCAUUCUUGUUGAUAUGACUAAGCCUCUUGUGUCAAAGAUUUAUACUUUCACCAUUCUGAAUUGCAUUAAUCUCUCUUUUCUGUAGCUUAGUUUCCAUGACAUAAAAAGAGUUAAACUUCUUUCCUCUUGCCACAAUUAAAGAACAUUUAGUGAGUUUUCAUUUGCUUUCACCAAAAUAAUGUGUAAAUCACUCAUUAUCAAGUCUACCUAUAGGUAUCAAGUUAAGACGAAUAUCUAUAACAUAUCUGACAUCUUUGAGUAUCAAUUUGCUCUCAAUACGGGUCUCUAAGUAGAUAUCUCCAAUACCCACAAUCUUAUAUGUACCAUUGUUUCCCAUUCUAACGUUACCAAAAUCACCAAUAGUGUAAGAUCUGAAGAAAUCAUCAUCAGAAGUAACAUGAAAUGAAGCACCAAAGUUAAUUACCCAGUUACUAUCCUAACCUACUAAACUGAUUUAACCAUCAUCACAAACAAUAAUGAUAUCGCCUUCAGCAGCAACUGUAUUGAUCUUUUUCUCAUUUUUCUUUAUUUCAUUCUGUUCUCGCUUCCAAAACAUACACUCUUUCUUCACGUGACAUGGUCUGUUACAGUGAAAACAUCAUUUAAUAUCUUUUCUAGACUUGGAUAUUCCUCUAUAACCAUGUGGAUUUCUGAUAUGAAUUCUUCCACGUCUUUCUUGUUUUUUAGUAACAAAUGAACCAGAAGAAGAUUCUUCCUAUUCUUUCCAUCUAGCAUCUUCAUUUAAUAAACUGUCUUUAACUAUAUCUAUAGUUAAAGUCCCCUUAGGCAUGGAGUUACAAAUUGUCACCACAUACGUUUCCCAACUUUCUGGUAAAGUGCUGAGAAGUAAUAAUCCUUGCAUCUUAUCUAUAUUCAUUUUCAUACAACCAGCUUGUUUAUAAGACUUUGAAAUAGACUUAUGUGCUCAACAAUGUUACCACCAUCUUUAUACUUCAAAUUUACAAGUCAGGAGAGAA
This 71599-nucleotide long non-coding RNA is filed under the name Musa acuminata (dwarf banana). Its description in RNAcentral is "long non-coding RNA (MACU_LNC004433)". The record is from RNAcentral. Lineage: Eukaryota; Viridiplantae; Streptophyta; Magnoliopsida; Zingiberales; Musaceae.